This 64744-nucleotide long non-coding RNA is filed under the name Gossypium barbadense (sea-island cotton). Its description in RNAcentral is "long non-coding RNA (GBAR_LNC013184)". The stretch from base 52978 to 53100 matches the Rfam family "MIR7504 microRNA precursor family". The record is from RNAcentral. Lineage: Eukaryota; Viridiplantae; Streptophyta; Magnoliopsida; Malvales; Malvaceae.
CAUGAACAAAGAUGUUCUUAGUAAUUUUAAUAGGUUAACAACUUUUGAAGACCCAGCUGGUCAUGCUCAAUCUUUGUUAGAAAAAGAUGUUCAUCGAGCAAUGAUUAAUAUAGAUUCCUAUUAACCUAAUUGUAGCUAAUUCCUUGAACUUGUUUCUUUUUUUAAAAAAAUGCACAAAAUGCAGAAAUAACUAUUAAUAAACUUUAUAGGAAAACAGAGCAUCUGUAUAAAUAUUUAUCAAAGAUAUUGCUAGAAAGCAAAGUUUAUGUUUAUUUUAGUCAAUUUAACAAUGGCCUCUUCAUCGAACGCGUUGCAUAUCCCUUGAUAACUUUACUUUGAUCUUCUUUAACUAUGUAACAACCUCUUUCAUAUGAAGCCUCUCAUUUGGUAACUCUGCAGAACAUUCUAAGCCAACUUGCAAAAUGGAUAAGGCACAAUUCUUGACUUUUAAAUGUUCCCUUCCAAUGGUGCUCAACAACUUGGGAUCUACAACUUGAUUUAGCGAAGAUGAUAUCGACUCUAUCACCCAACUCUUCAAGCUUCUUUCUCCUUCAAACAUUUCAUCUGUGGGCUAUUUUCUUGUGAUAAUUUCCAUCAAAAGAAUACCAAAGCUAUACACAUCACCUUUUGUCGAAACAAUUCCUUCCAUUCCAUAUUCUGUGUAUGAAUAUAAAGACAACAUUAUUAAUAUUCAAAGAUAUCUUGAUAAUGAAAAAUUCGUAUAAAAUAUCCGAAACAUUAUAUGCUUGCAUGUUAUAAUUGAACUGGGAUUUAAUCUAGUUGCUUCCUUAAAAAGUCACAUUUAAUAUGUUUGAAACUCAAAUCUUAACAUAUAUGAUCCCUUUUGCUAUGCACAUGCUACGCUUAUAUUGAAAAUGGAAAAAUAGACAUGGAGUUUGAUUAGAAGGAUCAGUUGGUGCCAUAUAUCCAAAUGUUGCCAUUGUCAUGGUUUGUAUCAUUGAAACCUCUUCACGUAAGAGUUUCGCGAUGCCAAAAUCACUCAAAUGCGCAACCAUAUCUUCAUCUAAUAGAACAUUGUUGGGUUUCAAAUCAUAGUGAACCACGGGUGUUGCAUUACCAUGGUGGAGAUAUUCCAAUGCAGAUGCAACAUCUAUCAUUAUGUUCAACCUUUGUAGGAUAUCCAAAUAUUGGUUGUUGGAAUACAACCAUUUAUCAAGACUCCCACUAGGCAUGAACUCAAGCACCAACGCUUUGAAAUUAAGAUCAUUAGAGCAACUGCUUAUUACUUUGACUAAAUUUCUGUGACGAGUGUUGCGGAGAACAUCACAUUCAACAUCAAAGCUCUUAAAAGCUCCUUCUAACUCUAACUUGAAGACCUUCACCGAAAUUACCGUCCCAUCCUGGAGAGUCCCUUGGAAUACUGAACCAUAACUUCCAUUACCAAGCAACCUACUAUCACUGAAUCCAUCAGUAGCUUGACGAAGCUCGUGGUAUGAAAACCGUCUCCACGUUCCUAAAGGUAUCAUGUCUUCUUGAGUUGGCAAUUUGUCUUUCCUCCUGUAUUGCAAGAUAAUGAUUAUCAGAGCCACAACCAAAAUUGUGGAGGCAAUUGGCAGAGCUACAUAUAUUAUGAGCUUAGUUUUUGCCUUGGAAUUUCUAAGAGAUCUAGUUUUGCAGUUUGGAACAUGAAGUCGAGCUGCACCACACAAGGCUUCAUUCCCCUUAAAUGAUUCGAUUGUGUAGUUUCCAAAUGAUCCUCCAUCAGGAAUUUCUCCUUCAAGUCUAUUAAAAGAGACAUUGAAAUAUUUGAGAUAACGGAGUUUCACUAAGGAUUUGGGAAUCUCUCCAGAUAGAUUAUUUCUUGACAAGUCCAAGAAUUCCAAACUCAACAAUUCAUCAAAAGACUCAGGAAUAGAACCCAUGAUUCUAUUAUUGGAUAAGGAAAAAUGAGUGAGGUCCUUGAGAUCUGCAACUCCAGUUGGGAUAUCACUUGAGAACUGAUUGUUCGACAAAUCCAAACUAGUCAAAACUUUCCAUUUUCCAAUGUCAAUUGGCAGUGGACCACUCAGAGAAUUUGAAGACGAGUAUAGGAUGAGGAGAUAGUUAAGCCUUGUCAACGUUGAAGGUAUUGAAGAGGAAAACAUAUUGGAGUCUAGAAAUAGUUGCCUUUAUGAAUUGACAUCACCUAAGCAAGUAGGUAUUGGCCCAGACAUUUUGUUAUUGGUCAAGAACAAGAAAGCCAAUUUGUUUAGAUGACAUAACUCAGAUGGGAUGGAUCCCUCUAACUUAUUGUCCUUAAGAGAAAGUCAUUGCAACUCUUCCAAUCCUCCAACUGUAGUAGGAAUCUGUCCUAUCAAUUUAUUGCCUCCUAGCUCAAGGUUUAUCAAGUGACUUAAGUUUCCAAUUUCACUGGGGAUGCUACCCCUGAUGUUGCAUGCAGAAGCAGAGAAAUCUUCAAGAGAACUUGAGAGAUUUCCUACCACUCUUGGAAGUUCACCACUAAUAAAUGAGUUGAUGUCGAAAAAAAGGUUCUUCAAGACUCUACAGUUUGUCAAAGGAAAGAGAAAGCUCAUUCCUGAGGAAGUUAAAUUAUUACUCGCCAGGUUGAGAAUAUUUAAAUUUCUUAGAUUGCCCAGAUUAUCCGGAAUGGACCCUGAAAAGUAAUUAUUAGACAUGUCAAGAAGAGUAAGCUGAGAGGCAUUGGAAAUAUACAUUGGGAUCGAGCGGGCAAGGUGAUUGAAAUCAAGAUACAAUUACUCCAUGUUUGGAAGGAAAAGGCCCAUGUUUUAUGGAAGAUGGCCAGAGAGCUGAUUUGUAUCCAAAGAAAUCAUCCUUAGAGUUGAAAUAUUGAACAGUUGUGGAGGAAUAGAACCAGCAAUAUUGUUAAAUGCUAAAUUCAACCAAUUUAGAUUGUUUAGGUUGCCAAUCUCAUGUGGUAUUAUACCUGCCAUAAAUUUUAUCAAACAAAAAUAUUAGACAAAUAUGGAACAUUUGCUUGUAUUUUGUUCUUCUAAGAACAUAAAAAUAACUCAAUUAUGAUUUUAUUAGAGUUUUGUGUGGCCUCAACUGGGAAAGAAUGGACUUAAAAGAAAAGAAAUAUACUAUUUGCAAUGACACGAAAAAAAAUUAUAGCUAUUGUAACAUAAUCAAAAUAUAGAAAGCCGUUGAACAAAAUUAAACCUAUCAUUAAAAGUUGGAAAUAAUUGACCUGUAAAAUUGCCAUGGGAACAAUCAAACAGCCUGAGAAGAGUUAAAUUCACAAUUUGUUUAGGAAUUUCACCUGCAAUUAUAAAAUUCACUUGUCAAAUUCAAAAUUCAUCUCUUAGUAAAGAUUAUAAGAUAAUAAAUGCUUAAUAACUUACUUAGCUUUCCAAUUUUAUAUAAUAAAGUCAUUUUAAUUUUCUAUUUAAUUUUUCGCCUUUAAACUUGUAAUAUUUGUCAAAUAUACCUCCAAAAUGGAUCAAAAAAUCCAUGUGCAUGUCACGUACUUAGUUUCUUGUUUGUUUAUCUUAUUUCUUCUCUAUCAAAGACCAAUAUUUAUUUUUAUUUGGUCCAAUCAAAAUAUAUUUUAUCAUUUCUGUAUUCGCAAGUCAAUAUAGAUGGAUAUUUCAAAACAUAUAUAUGUCUCUCUUAUUCUCGAUUUUCUCAAGCAAUUUGGUGGAAUACUCGAACGUUCGAUUCUUUUUUUUGGUCUUAACUUCAAUCUUUAUGAAUGAAAACAAAAGAAAAGAGUUUCUCAUUAUGAUCUAGGUUUCAUUUCUAUGGGUUAAAAAAAUUAAAAUAGUUAGUUGAAAGACCCAACAAAAAGUUGGUUAUAGAGGAGUUCAAGGAUAGAAAUAACCAAAACUCAUCUCAGCUACUGUACAAAUAGGUGUCGUAACCAUUUUUUUGUAAAAAGGUCGUUGACUUGGAUUUUGAAAAACGAAAACGAACAUGGGAGUCGCCACCAAUCCUUUUUAUUUAAGUGUGAUCGGAUCACCUUAUAAUUUAAUCAUUUUAAUAAAAGUUUUAAAUUUACUAAAACGAUAAUUUUUUUGUCUACAAAAUCCAAGAAAAGGGUUCGGGAGUUGGUUACGCAUGAGGAAGGAUUAGCACCAUCGAUGCACCCCAAAUUGGCAUCUAGUUGAUUAAUUAGUUUCUUAGUGUCGAAGAUUGAAAACUUUAAAGAGAUUUAAAAUUUGAUCCUUUAUUGAAAUGCUAAAAAAAUUUGAGGAAAAGGGCAUACUUUACGUUAAUCGAGAAAAGAGAAUUACGUCCCGUAAGUUAAGACACAAUACCACGUACUUUUGAGAAUAAGCUCCCUUUUGUUUUUUUUUCUCAAAGCAUGUUUAUUUUAGUUUUUAAAAGGAUAUUCGGUUAUUUGGGUUCAACGCGAGAAGAAUCAAGACCCAGUAAGUUAGGAUACGACUUCUCGGAUUUCCAAUUACAGAAUAUUGCCUUUAUUAUUUUUUAGAAAAGAACCUCAUCUUGAGAAAAAUAACAUGUCAUAUCCAAUGCGUUAGGACACAACAUAUCGAAUUCUCGAGAUAAGCUUUAAUUUUGGAAUUUCUACGUUUAAAUUGAAAAAGGGAUAUUCAGUUACUUACAUUCAACAAGGAGAAUUGAAGCCCAGUAAGUUAGGGCACAAUCCCCUCGAGAAUCUUGGAUACCGAGUAGUUGAAAACUUAUGGAUAAAAUGAUUUCAAUAUUUUUCUAAACGGAUGUAACGCGAUUGAAUGGUAACGUAUUACGCAAAAGUAUAAUUUAAAAAUAAAAUACACGUUAACGAAUCAUGAAUAAUAAAUAAACACAAACUAACAUAGCGAUAAUAAUCUCAAUCAUACAUGUCGAAUAUCGAUAUCAAUAUUUGAAAUAAAAACGAGCUAAUUAAUGCAAACACAAGCCAAGUGUAUAAGUUUUGAAAUGACUAGAAAAAUAAAUGGUAUGAAAAGAAUGGAAAUUGUGAAUCAAUAAAGCAUAUACAUAGAAAUUUUAACAUAAGUAUAUACAAAAAAUUUGAAAUAGAUUAAAAUGGAGUUUAAAAUAAAAUAAAAUAAAUAGUAUGCGAAGUAAAUUUUAGAGUAAAGGUUCAAAAUAUUAAUAUAUACAUAUAUUAAAAUUUUAAAAAAAGUAAUACGUAUGGGGUGGAUAUAAUAUGUGGUACUAUACGUAAAAGUUGGAGUUAGUGAAGUAUAUUAAAAUAGGAUUUUUUUUUUAGAACUACAUAUUUAUAGAUAAAAAAUAGAUGUUAGCAAAUAUAUAUACAACUAUAGUAAAGAAAGGACUGAAAAUUAAUAUGUAAUUUGAUAAAAACUAUGUAUCAUAAAAUAAAACCAUUUUAAAGAAAUAAAUCCCAUUGGAUUGAUAUAAUAAUAUGAAAUAAUGAUAAUGAUAUAAAACGUUAAAAAAUAUAAAUACGUAAUAAUAAAAGAGUAAAUAAAUAUAAAUAAGUGUAAUAAUAGUACCAAUAAUAAUAAUAGUAACAGUACUAAUAACAAUAAUAAUAUAAAUAAAAUAAUAUUAAACAGUUAAUUUUACAAGAAAAAAUAAAAAUAGAUAAAAUAGCACUGACAACAGAGAAGGACUAAAUUAAGCUUGAAAAUAAAAGUUUGAGGCAAAUCUAGAAAUAAAUGAAAAAGGGAUCGCGCUGAACACGCGAACAACGGGGAAAGACCAAAAUGGGAAAUAAUCCCAGCCUUCCAGAAUGUUGAGUUUUGCGCGGACCAGAUUGGAACAAAAAAUAAAAUGCGUGGCCAUAUUUAAAGGGAACAAAAGAUCGAUUUGAACUCAAUAUGGAAUACAGGGGACCAUUUGCGUAAAUUUCCCACGCGUUAUAAAACACGCAGAUCCGGGACCGGAUCGGGGCGGGUCGCGUGCUGGUCGUGCAAAACAGAGCCGUUUCAGCACUGAAACUCCCAGGUGAAACGACGUCGUUUCAAUAGCAAUAUAAAAGUUAAAAUUUUCCAAAAUAGACUCAUUUUCUCCUUGUUUCAGAAAAAAACAUUGGGGGUUCUCUCAAGUCCCAUUUCUCCAGCCCUAAACUUCGGCCAAAGUCUGGCCACUAGCCACCGUACCGGUCGUCGAUCGUCGGCAUUAGCGCCGCCGCGCACGGUGGUCGGCGAGGGAAAAAAGUUUUUUUUUUUAAUUUUUCAGCCCCCUAGACUCAAAUCCAACCACAAAACACCCAAAAACGUAAUAAAAAGGGACUAACAACCCUCUCAACGACGAGUUUUGCCACUAAAGAAGGGACCUUCUGACGAUCAAGGCGCGGCGUAACUCCGGUGAGUCCCUUCCCCUUUUUCUUAUUUUCGAACAACAAAAAGAAAGAAAGAAUAAAAAAAAGGAUUGAAAUCGAAAAUAAUCACCUUAAAAAAAACUUUCUAUUUUUGAUUAAUUUUUAUAUAUUUCGAAUCAAUGUGUGCGUAAAAAACUGUUACAACGAGAAUACUUUGGCUUUUAUAGCCAAAUUACAACCGUUUGAUCUUCAUCUUUUUGUUUUUUUUUUUGCUCUUUAUUUUGCUGGAUUCUUCUGUUGCUUUGCAUUGAUUUCUCUCUGCAGGUGUCAGAGGCGUGCGAUGCGCAUGGAGGUGACGGGCGGCGAUGGCAGUGUCAGAGGUGGCAGAGGCUUGCGGCGCACCUAGGGUUUCUGCCUCUCCCUCUUGCUGAAAAUUAGUUUAGGUUUUGGGCCAUUUGGGCUUUAAGGUUUUGAUUUGUUUGGGCUGUAAUUGGGUUUGUAAUUUAGCUGAUAAUUUGGAUUGUUUGGAUUAUUUAUUUUUUUGGUUUUAUUUCUGUUUAUUUUUGGGUUUUGGGCUUGGGGAAAAUUUGAUUAUUACAGAGAUAUUGAAGAUGGUAGAGGGAAUUGAACCUGAAAUCUGGUUUUCAAACAAAUACAAGACCUCUAGCUUUGACAAAUAGGCUAAAGAGAAUGGAAUAACACCUUUGAAGUUGUUUUGGUACAAAAACAACCUUCGAAGUUCAGUUAAUGAUCCCAACCAUGAUGGGAUUUCUCCACUGAAGGUGUUGUUACCAAAGCUUAAAUAUUUCAGCCGUCGCAAAUUGGAUAACUAGACAGGUAAUCUGCCAUAAAAACUAUUGUUUGUGACAUAAAGAAGAGAAAGGAAUGACAAAUUUCCCAAGUGAGGUUGAAGGGUGCCUACGAGUCCCAACUGUUAGAGUUAUUAAUAAAAUAGUCAAAGCUAUUACUAAGUCAGUUAGCAGUUAAGCUAUUACUAAGUCCGUUAGCAGUUAGAAAGUUAGCUGUAAUGUCAGUAAGCUUUAGCUUACGUGCUUGUAUAAAUACAUGUGAGGUCUGCAUGUUUUAAGUGACCUAAUGAAAAUAAUUCUCUUCUUGAUUCUUUCAUUUUCUUAGUUUCUUGUAGUUUUACAUGGUAUCAGAUGUAAGUUUUUCCAGGCAUUUUUUCUUCUUCUUUCGUUAAUCCGCUGUGCAGUCUGCAUAGUCAAUAUGGCCUUCAAUUCUUCUGACGGAGCUAUUGACAGUCGGUUCUUUUCUACAAAGAGGAUUAGUGUUCUUCUUGACGAUAAUACCUAUUUACUGUGGCGUCAGCAGGUUCUCUUGGCUAUAAAAGCGCAUAAACUUCAAAACUUCUUGGACCCUCAACAAGAUCCUCCCACUCAGUUUCUUGCCGAUGGUAGUGGUGGUUUUCAUGAGAAUCCAGAGUUUGCACAUUUUGAGCAACAAGAUAGUGCAUUUGCAUCGUGGUUGUUAUCUUCUAUUAGCCAAACGGUGCUUCCUCAUCUUAUUGGUAUGGAUACCAGUGCCAAGAUUUGGAAUGCAGUUGUUACUUGUUACCUUGUUUGGUAGUAAAACCACCUCUAAACUGAUCUCCUGUCGAAGAGCUUUGCAUUCUCAACGCAAGGGCAACUUGAGCAUGAAGGAGUUCUUGAUGAAUGUUAAAAGUUGCUGUGAUAAUCUCGCUAGUUGCGGUGAAGUCAUCAGCGAGCAUGAGCAUGUUACUGCAAUACUCAAUGGUCUUCUUCCAGAAUAUAAACCUGUCAUCACCAUUGUUACAGCAAGUCAAGUGCCCUACACAGUACAAGGUGUAACUUCCAUGCUUCUCGAUACUGAAGCUCGACAGCAGGUGAUGAGUUGUAAAGUCUCCAGUUCUGCAAACUUGGUGUCUUACCAGUCUUCUGAGUCUUCCGAUACUACUGGUUCAAUACCUGCUUAUCGACAGUCAUCUGCAACUCGGGGACGUCGGUGAGGGCGUUCGUCCAACACGAGGAUUCAAUGUCAGCUAUGUGGGAAAGCUGGUCACCUUGUUGACCGUUGUUACUAUCGGCUCACUUGUCCAUACACGUCAGCUUAAAAUGGACUUGUUGAAUUAAAACACCGACAGGUAGUUGAAACCGGCCUGUCCAUGUUAGCUCAUCCAACCAUGCCUUUGAUGUUCUGGAAUGAAGCCUUUUGCAGUGCCGUGUUUCUGAUUAACAGAUUACCCUCCCAUCCCUUGGGUGAUAUAUCACUAUAUGAAAAAUUGUUUAAAACAAAACCAAAUUACUCUUUCCUUCGAACUUUUGGCUGCUUAUGCUUUCCUAAUCUUAGACCUUUCAAUAAAACAAAGCUACAGUUUAUAUCUAUUCCUUGUGUCUUUCUCGGCUAUUACCCAUUGUACAAAGGUUACAAAUGUAGAGACCCUAUUGGUAGAAUCUAUAUUACUCGUCAUGUCACAUUUAAUGAGGCCAUUUUUUCCUACAAAAUGCAUAGUUCAACAGUCAUCCCAUCUACUGCUGUUCCACAGGUCAAUACAAAACUUCUUGUCCUACAUCCUAGCACUGUAUCUUGUAAUAGCAUCCCACCUAAUGUUAUUUCUACUAAUCCCUCUUCAACACCCACUUCACAGUCCACCUAUCCUAUUUUAGCUCAAACAUCACCUGCUUCACCUACGUUAUCUAGAUCCUCUUCACCUCCACAAUUGCAACCCUCCCAAUCCGCCCCGAUCAACACUCAUUCCAUGAUCACCAGGAGUAAGGUUGGAAUUUUCAAGCCAAAGGCUUAUUUGAGCACGACAUCUUCUUCUCCUAGUGAUGUUUCCUCUAACAUACAUGCAACGAUGGCGUUUGAAUGCUGGCGAAUAGCGGUUCACAGUGAAUUGCAAGCUUUGGUUCGUAAUAAUAUGUGGACUCUUUGUUCUCUCCCUGAAAAUGGACGAGCAGUCGGGUACAAGUGGCUCUUUAAAAUUAAAAGGAAGGCUGAUGGGUCCAUCGACAGGUACAAAGCAAGAUUAGUUGCGAAAGGGUUCUCUCAACAUACAGGGCUUGACUUUCAUGACACAUUUAGUCCACUAGUUCAAGCUUCCACCAUUCGCACUAUUCUUGCGUUAGCUGUUAUGCAGGGGUAGGCAAUGCGUCAAGUUGACAUCAAUAACACCUUUCUUAAUGGUGAGCUUACUGAAGAAAUAUACAUAGAGCAACCCUCUGGUUUUGAAGUCUCAGGUGCCUCUGGUCAGCCACUUGUGUGCAAAUUGAAUACAGCACUCUAUGGCUUGCGACAAGCCCCUCGUGCAUUCGAGUGUCUACAGGGAAUUACCUGCUUCUCAUGGUUUAUUUCGAUGACAUUGUGCUCACUGGUAGUAGUGUUCAAGAUAUAGAUGCUGUGGUACAUCAUCUUCAUAACAAAUUUGCUCUUAAGGAUAUGGGAACUCUCAGUUUUUUUUUGAGAAUUGAUGUCCAACGUACGUCCCAAGGAAUGUUGCUCAAUCAGAAGAAGUAUGUCACUGAGCUUCUUCUCAAAACUGGUAUGAUCGGGGCCAGGGAUUUAAAUUGCGGUCGCGGUCGCGUUUUCGGUCGCAUUGCGUUUAUCGCGGUUGCGGACAUAACGGAUGCUAUUGCGGUCAUUGCAGGUAUCGCGGUCGUGAAUUUUACAUUACUUAUUGUGUAUUGCGGGUAUAGCGGGUUUCGGCAGUAGCGGUUUCGGACGGUGCCGUUACCGCUAUAUAACGGCCGCUAUUUCGGUAACGGACCGCUAUUUAAAUCCCUGAUCGGGGCAGCUUCUACACCGACACCCAUAGUAAGCACUCCCAAGUUAGUUGCUUCAGAUGGCAGUCCUAUUUUUCCAAAUGUUCAUUUGUACCGAAGUACAAUGGGUAUGCUUCAAUAUAUAUGUAUUACACAACCCGAUUUGUUGUUCUGUGUAAACAAGCUUAGCCAGUACAUAAGUUCCCCCAGUGUCACUCAUUGGAAAGCUGUCAAACGUGUUUUAAGGUAUCUGGCUGGCACCAUAGAUCAUGGUUUGUAUUUUGCAGCAGGUCCAUUAGAGCUGGUGUGUUACUCUGAUACUGACUGGGCCUCAUCCAUUGAAGAUCGACGGUCUACGUCGGGAUAUGUGGUAUACUUAGGAUCAAAUCCUGUUACCUGGUGCUCAAAGAAACAGUCGGUGGUAUCCAGGUCGUCUGCUGAAGCAGAGUAUCGUAGCCUAGCCAACUGUGUGUCUGAACUGCUGUGGAUUCAACAGCUGCUAAAUGAAGUUGGAGUACCUCUGUCUAAGUUGCCAAUCGUCUGGUGCGACAAUUCUUCUGCAGUUUCAGUAGCUGAAAAUCCCACGCAUCAUUCUAGGAUGAAGCAUGUGGAAAUAAAUCACCAUUUUGUUCGUGAGAAAGUUCUUGCUGGAAUCCUACAGGUCAAUUUUGUUCCCUUUGAUCAACAGAUUACAGAUGUCCUCACUAAACCAGUUACUCCUAAGCUGUUUUCAUCAUUUCGACAUGCUCUUCGAGUCUUGACGUUAAGUGAACUUAAUGAUAAAAAAUCAAACAUGCUAAGGGAAUGUUAGUUAUUAAUAAAAUAGUCAAAGCUGUUACUAAGUCAGUUAGCAGUUAAGCUGUUACUAAGUCAGUUAGCAGUUAGAAAGUUAGCUACAACGUUAGUCAGCUUUAGCUUACGUGCUUGUAUAAAUACAUGUGAGGUCUGCAUGUUUUAAGUGAUCUAAUGAAAACAAUUCUCUUCUUGAUUCUUUCAUUUUCUUAGUUUCUUGUAGUUUUACACCAACCCAGUAAGGUCUAGAGCUGUGACUCUACGGUGCUUGGAUCCACAACUUACACCAAACCAAUAGCAAACGGGGGAAGAGGCUGACCAAUUAGUUGUUAAGACAUUUUCAGGAUCAUGAUGAAUAACAUGAUCUCUUAGUGUUAGAAGAGUUGAUUGAUCUGUAAGUAUGGUGGUUAAUUUCAUAGAGAAAUUAGUAGGCAUAGAAAAAUGGAAGAUGAUAAGAAGAGCUAAGUUGAGGAAAGUAUUCCCUGCUUAUCGAGCUACCAACGAAGGCAGAACUGAAUGUUGUAAUUUAUUCUUGCAACAUUGCAAAUUCUUUGAAUGUGAUUUAGGUAGAAACUAUAGAAUUUAUUAUAGGAUGUGAUAAUAUGAUUAUGUAAUUAUUGCUUAAAAAACUUCUUUCUAAAUUUCAUAUAGUUGCACUAGUGCUAAGAUUACAACUUUUUUUAUUAAAUUAUUCUAGAUUAGUGAAAUUAUUAGACAACGUGAUAAUUUCUUAUCAGAUAGGAAGUGACAAGUGAGCAGUCACUUCCAAGAAUAUAAACAACUCAAUCACUCUCUUAACUAACGGUAUCAAACACUAAUUGUUGUUUCUAUUGACUAAAAGAAUUUUCAACCAAAAAUAUGUUGACUUAAAAUUAAAAUAAACCAUCAAAUUUCUUAGAACAUUCAAUGAGGUUGAAAGAUUUUAUUUUUAAUUUUUGUUAUUUUGGAAUAAUUUUUUUUCUUUAUAAUUUUACCAAAAAAUAUAUUUUAACUUUUUAUUUUUUUUAGUCAUUAAACUUACAUUGUUUGUCAAAUUAUCCCAAAAUAAAUGGAAAAAAUCAACGUUUGUUAACUUUGCUAAUGUGCCACAUGUGGAUUGUCACGGGAAUGUCAAGUUAGAAAUUAAUUCAUUUUUAAAAAUUUAAAAAUUUAGAAAAUAUUAUUAAUUUAUUUUUAAAAUACUAAAUUUAUUUAAAAAGUAUAAAAGUAUAAAAUUAUAAAAAAAUUUUUAUUUUUAAAAAUUAAUUAAUUGCUAACGUGGUACAUUAACUUUUUCAUUCAUUUUAGAUGAUUUGACAAACAAUACGAGUUUAAAAGUUAAAAGUGAUGGAAAAUUAAAUAAAAGGCUAAAAUGAAUUUUUAAAAAAAUAAAUUUGAAGCGCCAAAAAAUUCAUCAUCCUUUUUUUUUGUCCUAUCAAUACGCUUAACAACAUGCCACCAUAAUUUUGAUUUUCUCUGGUAAGUCUGUAUGCCAUAGGUUUUUUAGGAAAGCUUUGUUUGUAAUUUCAUUAGUAUCAUCAUCUAGACUAGAGGUCUCUUUCAGUAGCCUUCUGUAACCACUCCUCACAAUAUACUCUCUUGUUACCUCCCCAUUCCAUACCCUAUUUUCCUCUCGUGGAUGUCUCGCUAGAGGAAUUUGCAAGAUAGUUUCUACCUCUUCCCCUGUAAACAAAGAGGUAACAAGAUCCUCCUUCCUUUGUCUCAGAUUAGAUUCACUCAGCUCUUCCACCUUAAUUAUAUUGUGAUCUCAAACUAACUCCUGGAUUUUUUUAUCCUUCAACCCAAGGAUCCGAGCAUCCUGCCACUCUCCAAGCCAUUCCAUCCUAUAGUAGUUGCUUCGUCGCCCAUAAGCUCCUCCAAGUAUAAAAAGGAUAAUUACCUAACUUUGGUUGCAUGAACUCGACAUUGGGGAAUAUUUAGCUUUUAAAGUUCUAGCUAAUAACAAAUCAUGAUAAUUCAUUAAACUCCAACCCUAUUUUGCAAAGGCUAAAUUCAACUUGGAUAAAUUUUUAAACCUUAUUCCCCCAUCUUCAUUUAGUUCACACAAUUUAUUCCAAUUGCAUCAAUGAAUCCCCCUCUUUCCUUUUUGUUUCUGCCACCAAAAUCGAUUUAUAACCUGUUCCAUGUCAUGACAUAAAGAAUUCAGUGGUAAAAAACAAAACGUAGCAUAAGUCGGAAUUGAUUGCAGUACACUCUUAAUAAAAAAACUUCCUUCCCUCCCUAGGGAAGUAUUUUAACACACCAAUUAUUUGUUCGUUUUGCAAUCCUAUCUUUCAAGCCCUGAAAGGUCCUUCAUUUUUGCCUCCCCACAACAUUCAAGAGCCCCAAAGACUUCUCUGGAUCCAUCAAACAACGCACCCUUAAUAAUUGAGCUACUGAGUCCUUUGCAUAUGUAGAAUUAUUUGAACUAAAAAAUAGUGUUGAUUUCUCUAAGUUGAUACUUUGCCCUGAAUAUUCUUCAUACUUCUGCAAAAUCCUUCUAAUCUCAUUUGCUCGCUUUUCUGUAUCUUCACCAAACAAAAUAUAGUCAUUCGCAAAAAGCAAAUGAGUAAUCUCAAGACCCUUUCUACAUACCUUGACACCUUUUGUUCUCCCCUCCCCUUUCACCAUCCUCAUCAAUGUCAACAACCCCUCUCCACAAAUCAAGAAUAGAUAAGGACUUAGCGGAUCCCCUUGUCUAAGGUUAUAAUCUCCUUAACUUGGACUAGACGUUAUGACCAUAUUAAAAAGGCUACAUUAGACUCCAAAAUGACUAAACAGACUAUUUGACCUUUGAAAAUCCUUAACACACAACUAGUUUUAAAGAAAAUUGGUAUUGGUGAUCCAAGUUAGAUAAAACAUUUGUUUAUUGGGUUUUCUUACAAAAAAAAACCCUAAUUUUUUUUCUAACUUUAGAAAAGUCAUCACCCUUGAAAUUAAUUAACAUUAAAACAUUCAUUCAAUUAGGCCAUCUUUACUUAGAUUCUAUUUUAUUAUUGUUGUCAUGUUUUAGAAAACUAAUUGUUUUGAUAUUUUGUUUCACAAAAAUCAAAUCUUUAAAAUGUAGUGGAAAACUAUUAUUCAUAUCAUUUUAGAAAUCCAAUUGCCUUAUUGAUUUGUUUUUCAAAGCAGUUAAUUUGUAACACAAUGAAAAAUUGGUGAUCAAUGCCAAUUUUACUUAAGCCAUAUAUCAUGCAAUUAUUAGUUAUUAAACUUCAGUAAUAUAUGCAUGCACAAAAUCUCCCUCCCCUAAAAAAUAAUCAAGCCAUAGACUAGAGGAGUUCAUGGGCCGGGCCGGGCUCAAAAAAAUUUUGACCUGUCCUAAAAUAUGGGCUUAAAAUUUUGAUCCAGGUCCUACCUGAGAAAAAAUUUCUAAGCUCGGCCCAACCCAUUUUUAAUAAACAUCAAAAAAUUAUUUAAAAAAUAAAAAGUAUUUUAAAAUUUCUAAAAAAUAUAUAUAUUUAUUAUAUCGGGCCAAGCCGAGCUCGAGCCUAGGCCAAAAAAGUGGUACCCAAAGCCCAAUCUAUUUUCUAAACCAACUUUUUUUUAUCUAAACUCAUAUUUUAAAUCUAUAUAUUUACCUGAAUUCUCUCAUAUUUCGGGCGAAUCGUCCUGACAUGAGCACCUCUAGCUUUUAAGGACUUGAUUUUCAAUUUUUAACUUUUCCUUUGUUUUUCUUUCGUUCUGUUUAUAUGUCAGGUCUCCAAGAUGCCCUCCUUAUUUGGCUCUAACCCUUCAUCCUCCGAUCCUGCAAACGACACCGUGCCUUCCCCUUCCUCUUCUUGUUCCUCCUCCUCCUCUCCGGACAUGUGGAAUUACUUUUUUAUCCCUAUCCUCCUCCACCUCACCAAAAAACUCUCCCUUGCUAAAGCUCAAACCUCAACUGGACUCCUCCUCCCGAGUCAACGCGGCGACGGCUCGGCCGAUGAUUCACUAAUUUCCUUUUCGAGGUGCGCGAAUGCUGACCCGAAGCUAUAUUAUCGGCCUGUGAUUGGGAUACUGAGUCAUCCAGUAGGCGGCGCGUCGGGGGGCCGUUCCUACAUAGUUGCGUCGUACGUGAAGUUCGUGGAAGCGGCCGGGGGUCGAGUCAUUCCUCUUAUUUAUAAUGAGCCGGAAGAGAUUCUUUUCCAGGUAAUAAUCAUGAUGUUCAUUUCCUUGUAAAAAUGCUGAAUUUUGACUUUGAAUAUUUGCGUGUGUGUGUGUUUUUUAAAAUUCGGUUAAAAAAAAUGGACAGUCGUGAAUCUAUUUUUGGAAAGAAAAAUUCCUGAUUUAGAAUCUUAAAUAACUUUGAUACUGUGAAAUUUGAUACUGUGAAUUUUUAAUAUUUUGUUUCAUAAUAAGUUUUUCCUCUUAAUUAAAUGUAAGAAUAUAAAAAUGCUUGCUAUUCCCGCAUUUCAAAAAAUUCUCUCGUUUUUGUUAAAUCAUAAAAUUAGGAUACUACCAGUUGUUGCAAUCUCCUUACUGUCUAUGCAAAGGAUAGAAUUUUAGCUUAGUUGCAUUUUUGUGGAUAUUCUUUAGUACCUUAAUAUUUGAAAUGAUAUUUUGAUUGCAUAUGCAUAUGCAUAUGCAUAUGCCUUUCAUUCCCUUGCUUUUGAUUUGCUACGAUUAGACAGUGGUAUGAUGCUAUGAUACCCGCUUUAGCAUAGUUGUUGCCUUCCUUUGCCAAAAGCCUGUCACCUUGCUAAGUGUCUUCUCCACCUUCGUAUUGCAGAAGCUUGAAUUGGUUAAUGGCGUGCUUUUACCAGGAGGGCGGUCUAAAUCCGGCUUGUACUAUGAUAUUGCUGAAAAGAUUUUCAAGGUAAUUUAUAUUUAUAUUUGUUUGUUUCUUGAUUUUAUGAAAUUCACAUGAAACUAACAAAAAAAUAUAGGCAAGAGAUUGGUGUUAGCAUGCAAGUCUUUUGUUUCUUCAACUUAUGCUUCAAAUGUUUUUAUAUUUCCAAUUUUCCAUGGGUUGCAUAGAAAACUUUUAUUCUUUGUGUUUUUGCAGAAAGUUAUAGAGAAGAACGAUAGGGGAGAUCAUUUCCCGUUAUAUGCCAUUUGUUUGGGUUUUGAACUUUUAACAAUGAUUAUCAGCGAAGUAAGCACCUCACAUUAUCUGACAUUUUUUUUCUGUUUCCUUUUUAAAAAAAAAAGAAAAAAGAAAAACAAUUUAAUUUUCUUCAGGCUUUUAUCUGUUUAUAUGGCUUUUUUAUAUGGCUUUUCUUGAUGUAGUUAACUUUUGUUCACUAUUGUGGACUUUCUCUACUAAUAUUCAUUCAUGCGUCAUGGCAGAAUGACCAAAUGAGACGUUUUUAAAUUUCUUGAUUUAAGGAACUCUAUAAUUUCCAUUUGUGAGAGAUUACUGUUGGCCUAACAUGGCUAAAUAAUGGCAAUUCCUGCAUGUUCACCGUAUUGUGGAAACUGCAGUAUUUGAUCCGUUAGGAUGGCAUGGUUACCUUGUUUGUGGCAUCCAAACCAAUGGUUGACCUUGCUGGAAAACAUUUUCUAAUGGAUUUGAAAUCUCAAAAUCUUAUCUACUGGUUCUUUAGAAAUCACUUCAUUUCAAGUUAGCUUAAACCUACCCAUGUCUACUGUAUCCAAUAACUUAUUUUACUUAAGGAUUUUCUUUGUUGAAUUAUAAAAAAUUUGACAAAAUCUUAUUUUAAUGAAUACAUACUUUUUUUCUUCUUGCUGAUAGUGUUAACAUUAAUGGGAGACAACAUUAAUGGCAAACAAUACAAAGUGGUGCAAGUUUAGCACCCUAAAGUUGACUUUGAAAAAGUGGCAUGGGAUAAUUUUUUUUGGUCCUUGAGAUAAUGGGCUAUUUAUUGUUUGGUCCUUAAACCUCAACUAUAAAUAAGCCUUUUCAUUUCUUAUUUCAAUUCAUCCCAACCAAUCUUUCUCUCUUAGUUUUCUCUCUUCUCCCAUUUGAGAAUUCUUAAGGAAUUCUAUUUGUUUGUAAUACUUUGAAGAUAGUAAAGUUAUCAUCUGGUGUUAGUGCCCGAGGACGUAGGUAUAAUUUACCGAACCUCGUUAAAACUCUUGUGUUCUUUCUUGUCCUAUUUUUCUUUCAAUAUUUGAGGGUAUAAUAGUAGUAUUUAAUUGUGCUAUUAAAUUACUAUAGAAGGGAUAUUCUGUCUAAGGAAAGACUUGGUAUUUAAGAGAUCCAUGUGAUCCACCUCUCUUUCCUGGGAAUUGAACUUUGUGUGAUUUUUUAGUACAAUAAUUUACACGUUUUCGACCCUAUUGGAACAACAAGUGGUAUCAAGAGCCGAAGGUUAAUCGUAGUAUGCUCUGUGGUUGCAGUUUAAACUGAUCUUCCACAUCAGAAAAGAUUUCCUUAGGUAUAUUGAAAGAUUAUGGAGAAAACGGUCGGUGUAGGAGCUUCAACAUCGUCCAUGUGGACAAGACCGACAAUUGCAAAUGCAAGAUUGGCCGUGGAGAUCUUUGAUGGCACGGGCCAUUUUGGUAUGUGGCAAAGUGAGGUUCUAGAUGCCCUUUUUCAGCAGGGUCUAGACAUUGCCAUUGAUGAAGAGAAACCAGAUGAUGUACAGGAGAAAGAUUGGAAGGCGAUCAAUCGGUUGGCAUGUGGCACAAUUCGAUCAUGCCUUUCUCGAGAGCAGAGGUAUGCUUUUUCAAAGGAGACUUCUGCAAAUAAGUUGUGGGUGGCACUUGAAGAAAAAUUUUUGAAGAAAAACAGUCAAAAUAAGCUCCACUUGAAGAAAAGACUGUUUCGCUUCACAUACGUCCCAAGUACCACAAUGAAUGAUCACAUCACCAAAUUCAAUCAGUUAGUCACUGAUUUGCUGAAUAUGGAUGAGACAUUCAAAGAUGAAGAUUUGGCUUUGAUGCUGUUGGGGUCACUUCCUGAGGAGUUUGAGUUCCUAGAAACUACUCUACUUCAUGGCAGGAGUGAUAUAUCUCUGAGCGAAGUCUGUGCGGCCUUAUACAGUUGUGAACAGAGAAAGAAGGACAAACAGAAAAACUCAAUCAGAGAUACAGAAGCUUUAGUAGUCCGAGGUCGUUCAUACACUCGGAAGAAAACUCAAAAGGGGAGAUCAAAGUCAAAGUCCAGACUCGGGAAAGAUGAAUGUGCUUUUUGUCAUGAGAAAGGCCACUGGAAGAAAAAUUGUCCAAAGCUGAAGAAUAAGGGAAAAGCUGCUGUAGAUGCUUGUGUUGCUAAGCAUGAUACUAGUGACUCUGAACUAUCACUGGUUGCAUCAUCAUCGUCGUUCCAUUCAGAUGAGUUGAUAUUGGAUUCGGGUUGUACCUAUCAUAUGUCCCCUAACCGGGAGUGGUUCUCUGAUUUAGUAGAACUAAAUGGAGGAGUUGUUUAUAUGGGCAAUGACAAUGCUUGUAAAACUGUUGGAAUAGGUUCAAUCCAAUUAAAGAAUCAAGAUGGAUCAACCAGAGUUCUGACUGAUGUUCGGUACGUGCCCAGUUUGAAGAAAAAUCUCAUCUCAUUGGGAGCAUUGAAAUCCAAUGGUUCAGUUGUUACUAUGAGAGAUGAGAUUUUGAAAGUGACAUCUGGCGCACUUGUGAUAUUGAAGGGCAUCAGGAAAAAUAACUUGUAUUACUACCAAGGUAGUACAGUUAUUAGAGCAGUCGCUACAGCUUCCGGUAACAAAGAAUUGGACUCAAUGCAGUUGUGGCAUAUGAAGUUGGGACAUGCCAGCGAAAAAUCCUUGCAAAUUCUGGCAAAGCAAGGAUUGUUGAAAGGUGCAAAGGCUUGCAAAUUAAAAUUUUGCGAGCAUUGUGUUCUGGGAAAGCAAAAGAGAGUGAAAUUCGGUACUGCUAUCCAUAAUACAAAAGGUAUUUUGGAAUAUGUUCACUCAGAUGUGUGGGGGCCUUCCAAGACACCUUCCUUGGGAGGAAAACACUACUUUGUUACUUUUGUUGAUGACUUUUUCAGAAGAGUUUGGGUGUAUACCAUGAGAACUAAGGAUGAAGUGUUUAGAGUUUUUCUUAAAUGGAAAACUAUGAUCGAAAACCAGACUAGCAAGAAAAUCAAGCGGCUUAGGACGGACAAUGGAGGGGAAUAUAAAAGUGAUCCGUUCUUCAAUGUGUGCCAAGAGUAUGGUAUUGUUCGACACUUCACAGUUAGGGAUACACCACAGCAGAAUGGAUUGGCAGAGCGUAUGAAUCGAACAUUGCUGGAGAAAGUUCAAUGUAUGUUGUCCAAUGCUGGAUUGGGCAAGCAAUUUUGGGCUGAGGCUGUGACAUACGCUGGCCAUCUUGUUAAUCGUUUGCCAUCAUCUGCAUUAGAAAGAAAAACUCCUAUGGAGGUAUGGUCUGGAAAACCGGCUACAGAUUAUGAUUCCUUACAUGUGUUUGGAACCACUGCAUAUUACCAUGUGAAGGAGUCAAAGUUAGAUCCGAGGGCAAAGAAAGCUCUCUUUAUGGGAAUCACUUUUGGAGUGAAGGGAUUUCGUCUUUGGUGCUUAAGCACAAAGAAAAUGAUCUGUAGCAGAGAUGUUACCUUUGAUGAAUCUGCCACAUUGAAAAAGGUAGCAGAUAAAGAUAUUCAGACGAGCAAUACUCCACAGCAGGUGGAGUGUACUCCAAAACAGGUGGAGUUUGAGCAGAUGGGGAUUUGCCCAGUUAAUAAGUCUAAUUCUCCAGCCACAAUGGAGGAAUUAGAGGUUGAAGAGGUUCUGACCCAAGAACCACUAAGUACACCAGAACCAGUUGCAGUUGUAAGGCCACGGAGAGAAAUUCGUAAACCUGCUCGAUUUACUGAUAUGGUGGCCUACGCCCUUCCCGUUGUUGAUGAUAUUCCUAUCACUUAUCAAGAAGCAAUGCAAAGCUUAGAAAGUGAUAAAUGGAAAAGCGCCAUGGAUGAUGAAAUGCAGUAUCUCCGGAAGAACAAUACUUGGGAGUUGGCGUAAUUACCGAAAGGUAAAAGGGCAAUCGGAUGCAAGUGGGUAUUCGCAAAGAAAGAUGGAUCUCCUAGCAAGAAGGAUAUUCGCUAUAAGGCAAGAUUGGUAGCUAAAGGCUACGCUCAGAAGGAGGGAAUUGACUACAAUGAUAUAUUUUCCCCUGUUGUGAAGCAUUCCUCCAUUAGAAUUUUGUUGGCUUUGGUAGCACAGUUGAAUUUGGAGCUAGCUCAACUUGAUGUUAAGACGGCUUUCUUGCAUGGUGAGUUAGAAGAGGAGAUCUAUAUGACUCAGCCCGAAGGAUACACAGAUGCUGGUGGUAGAAAUUGGGUUUGUAAGCUGAACAAAUCGCUAUAUGGAUUGAAGCAAUCCCCGAGGCAGUGGUACAAGCGAUUUGAUAGCUUUAUGAGAAGGCAGAAGUACACAAGAAGCAAAUAUGACAAUUGUGUAUAUUUGCAGAAGCUGCAUGACGAAUCUUUCAUUUAUCUACUCUUGUAUGUUGAUGAUAUGUUAAUCGCUUCGAAGAGCCAAAAUGAGAUAGAUAAGCUGAAGGCUCAGUUGAAUCAAGAGUUCGAGAUGAAAGAUCUAGGUGAGGCCAAGAAGAUUCUCGGCAUGGAGAUAAGUAGAGAUAGACCGAGAGGCAAGCUCUGUUUAAAUCAGAAGCAAUAUCUGAAAAAGGUAUUACAAUGUUUUGGUGUAAAUGAAAACACAAAACAUGUAAGUACCCCACUUGCUUCUCAUUUGAAACUUAGUGCUCAAUUAUCUUCGAAGACUGAAGAUGAAAGAGAAUAUAUGGCGAAAGUCCCAUAUGCUAAUGCAGUUGGGAGUUUGAUGUAUGCGAUGGUGUGUACGAGGCCUGAUAUUUCACAAGCUGUUGGAGUUGUGAGCAGGUAUAUGCAUGAUCCUGGAAAAGGACAUUGGCAAGCAGUGAAAUGGAUUCUACAGUAUCUUCGAAAAACCGUAGAUGUUGGUUUAAUUUUUGAACAGGAUGAAGCACUUGGUCAGUUUGUAGUUGGAUAUGUUGAUUCCGACUUUGCUGGUGAUUUAGAUAAACGUCGUUCAACUACGGGGUAUCUGUUUACUCUUGCGAAAGCCUCAGUGAGUUGGAAGUCUACCUUACAGUCUACAGUAGUUGUGUCUACUACAGAGGCAGAAUAUAUGGCAGUUACAGAAGCUGUUAAGGAGGCUAUUUGGCUUAAUGGAUUGUUGAAAGACUUAGGAGUUGUUCAAAGUCACAUAAGUUUAUAUUGUGACAGUCAGAGCGCUAUUCAUUUAGCGAAAAAUCAAGUCUAUCAUUCAAAAACCAAGCAUAUCGACGUAAGAUAUCACUUUGUGCGGGAAGUCUUUGAAAAAGGAAAAAUUCUACUUCAGAAGAUUCCGACAGCAGAUAAUCUCGCAGAUAUGAUGACCAAGGUGGUAACAACAAUCAAGUUUAAUCAUUGUUUGAACUUGAUUAACAUCCUAAGAAUUUGAGCACCUUCAGGUGUAUGGCGCUCGAGAGUGCAUUUGUAGGCACUACAAAAGAUAGCUUUAUCGAAUUUGGGGAGUUGAAGGAAGUGUGUGAAGAUGUGAUUAUCCUAAUCAAAUCUUCAAGGUGGAGAUUGUUAACAUUAAUGGGAGACAAUAUUAAUGGCAAACAAUACAAAGUGGUGCAAGUUUAGCACCCUAAAGUUGACUUUGAAAAAGUGGCAUGAGAUAAUUUUUUUGGUCCUUGAGAUAAUGGGCUAUUUAUUGUUUGGUCCUUUAACCUCAACUAUAAAUAGGCCUUCUCAUUUCUCAUUUCAAUUCAUCCCAACCAAUCUUUCUCUCUUAGUUUUCUCUCUUCUCCCAUUUGAGAAUUCUUAAGGAAUUCUAUUUGUUUGUAAUACUUUGAAGAUAGUAAAGUUAUCAUCUAGUGUUAGUGCCCGAGGACGUAGGUAUAAUUUACCGAACCUCGUUAAAACUCUUGUGUUCUUUCUUGUCCUAUUUUUCUUUCAAUAUUUGAGGGUAUAAUAGUAGUAUUUAAUUGUGCUAUUAAAUUACUAUAGAAGAGAUAUUCUGUCUAAGGAAAGACUUGGUAUUUAAGAGAUCCAUGUGAUCCACCUCUCUUUCCUGGGAAUUGAACUUUGUGUGAUUUUUUAGUACAAUAAUUUACACGCUUCCGACCCUAUUGGAACAACAGAUAGGACAAAAAAAUUCUUGAACGAUUUUCUGCAUUAAAUCGGGCCUCUAGUCUCCAAUUUGUGGAAAAUGUUAAUAUUGAAGGAACAGUAUUUCAAAGGUGCAAAACCUUUAUUACCUUUCAUGGUACAUUAGUAUUGUUUGAUUUUGGUGCCAUUUUUCUAUUGAUGCUUUUGCUCAGAUUUUACAUUAUUAUCCUUGGAGGAUUAAGUAUUUUAUAUUUCAAAUAUGUUUUGCUGGUCAGGCAUUAGAUGAUUUAUAGGAAAGUUCACAACAGUUAACGUGUUGAAGUAACGAAAGCCUCUCUGUAUGCGCUGCUAAUAAGGGAAAGAGUCUUGUAAUACAUAUGCAGUUUAUGUUCUGUCAGACUGAUCUCUCCAUUUCACUAUUUGAAUAAGAACUUUGUUGCAUGAGGAUAGAGAAAAGGAAGUCAACUAGUUGCUUGAGAUUUCCUGAAGUUGUUCUUCAGGUUAAAUGAUGACCAUAGCAUAAUAUUUGGUGUGAAACUUUGGUACUAUGGGCUUACCACUUUUCUUGUUAGCUUUUGCUUGCACCAUAGGCACAUGGCAAUGAAUUGGUAUGGUAACCAGACUUCACAUGAAGCUUUUAGUGUAGACCAUAAACAAGUUUAACACUUAAAUAGGAAGAGAAUAGAUGUGUGCUUGUUUAGCUUCCUGAUUAGUGUCAUUGAAUUUGUUCUUAGUUGAUUGAGGAGAGUGUAAUAAACCCUUCUCUGAACUUCAGAGUUACACCUUUGAUAAAUAGCAAUAGCUGAGCACAGCAAUAAACAUUAAUUGCCUGUUUGCUUUAUCAUCAAAAGGCUUUAUGAAUGUUGUAGGUAUAUCCAUUUAUAAUAUCUAACCUUUCAAUCAGUAGUAAAAAUGAGGUGAUUUUAAGCUGAUAAUUUGUAGUUUGGUCCAAGUUAGUAGCAGAACAAUAUUGUCAUAAACUUUCUACUUAGCCCAACCUGGUUGACAUCUUUUAUUCGAGAGCUUUUCUUAUAGUCAGUGUAAUUAUAUGUUCAUUGCUCCAGUCAGUGCCACACUUCUACAGCUUGAUAGUUAUUCUCUUUUGCCAGAUUUCCUCCAAAUUUGCUGCAAAAGCUUGGCACAGAUCGCCUAGUCAUGCAAAACCAUUGUGUGAGUUUCAUGGCUCCUUUCAUUUAUAUUUUAAAUUAGUUGCACGUGUAAGUGUUUGUCUUUUGCUUCUCUAGUAUGUCCGCUUUGGAUCAUUCCUAAAACCUUGAACUGAUAAUGAAGGAUCUAAAUUCUGAUUUAUUCAAUGUUUUCAUUUUUUUUUCAAUUUUUGUUGCCACUGGUUGCCUGUUUCCUCUAUUUGGCACUUUUAACAGCUUCCUACUUGUUAGCUUGUGCAGAUUAUUAUUUGAGAGAUGAAAUGUAUUUUAAUGCACAGUAAAUUGUUCAUGCGUUCUGUUCUCCUAAUAUGUAAUUUGAUUUCCUUGAACCUCAUUCUUGGUCUCUAAAAGCCUAACUUAGAAGAAAACUCAACAGGCAAGAUGUCGUGCUAAGAGUAGAGACCUGUCAAAGAAGAAAAAUGCUAAUAUUUCUUCAGAGUUAAGGAUAAUAUAUCCCUAUUCAAAAGUUAUCUUUCUUUCAUGUGCGUAUUAAGAGAAUCCUUGCCGCCCUCCUUUGUGGCACAUUGUCUGUGUUAUGUUUCUAUGUACAAGCUAAUUAGCAUUGCCUAAAAUCAAUGUCUAAUUGUAACAGUGGGGCAUUUCACCAGAGAAGCUUCAAAAUACUCCAAAUCUGUCCAGAUUCUUCAAGAUCUUAACAACAAGCACAGAUAAAAAUAACAAGGUUCUGAAUCUUACAAUCCCUAUGCCAUAGGAAGUGUCUUAACUUGAUUUAUCUCAUUACAUUUUAUGGCUGCUGUAAAUGUCCUUAUUUCUAUUUAAGUGUUAAUAACAGGUAUAUGUCUCCACUGCACAAGCACAUCGCUAUCCUGUCACUGCCUUCCAGUGGCAUCCAGAGGUACCUCUUUUAGUGCUUUCUGAUCAUCGUCAUGUUUAUGCCUCAGUACAGUUUGGCAUGGCAAUUUUAAUUUUUCUUGUUAAAUAAUAAUCAUAUCAAUGACCACUACAAGGAAUUGGUGUCCUUUUUUUCCCUAUUAACUUCUUUGUGUAUCUCUGCUUCUGUUUCUCUUACUCCUUUUAAUUUUGUUUGCAAAACUGUAGUGUUAUUCUAUGAUCCACUAAUACACUCCAUUUCAUUAUGAAUAGUCUGACCAUAUAUUUUGCAGAAAAAUGCUUUUGAAUCGGGCUUGUCUAUGAUUCCACACUCAGACGACGCCAUUGAAGUGACACAACAUGUUGCAAACUUUUUCAUCAGGUUAGGAAUGUUAAGUAAGGAAGUUAUUAAUAGUUCUCUAUAUUCUUACAAUUUAGUCAACGACAAACUGAGCGAAUGUUAUAUUCGAGUGAGACACAAUCUUGCUCUUCAGCAUAUUAUUUGGGUUUUGGGCAGCUGUUCCUAUGUGGAUAUGCUUUGCUUCGUCCUAGAGCAUAUGUAAGGAAGAAAUGUUUAAAGGAACUUAGAUAAAUUUUAGGAUAUAAACAAUAUAAGAAUAUAAAUAGUUUAGCAUGAAAGGAGAAGGAAAGGAAAUAGGCAAAAUUCAUUUUCAGCAUGCUAUACUACAAGUAGUUUUUCUGGCUGAGAAUGAAAUGCCCGUGGUUUUAUGAAUAUAAGAAAGAGGAAAGGAAAGAAAAUGCGUAUUUCUAAUUAUGUGACAGACUAGAGGUGAGGUAUUUGUGUUCGCGGCAUAAGAAUUUGAGUUCAAACCCUAACAUUGUUUCGCCCUACCAAAUUAUAAAAAAUAAAUACCAUCUCUUUCCUUCGUCUGUUUGGAAGAUGAGGUAAUUGAACUUUUCUUUUUUCUGGUACAGAGAGGCUAGGAGAUCACUGAAUAGGCCAGCUGCUCAAAAAGUGCGUGACAGCCUUAUUUAUAAUUACAGGCCCAAGUAUUAUGGGAAAGCUGGGUAAGCUGAUAUCAAUCCUUUUGAGUUUUGACACUAUUAGGACACCAUCCUCUUGAAUGUAAGCUGAUUGACAUGGUUGUGAAUUUGAAUGCUGUAGGAAGGGUUUCGAUCAGGUCUACAUCUUUACACAACGUCAAGCUCGAAAUUGAUAGAGUUGCGGCCGUGUACAUAGUUAAAGAUGUAUGUGGUUGGAUGUAUGUAUAUUGUUGACGCUGUAUUUGCAUUGUGAUUUGUAUCUGAUUGCUCUCUUAAUUUAUAUAAGCUACGGACUGGAUGCUUGCCAAUGAGGUGUAUGAGUAGUUAUUGUUGAUGAACAAAGUUUGCAAUGCUUAUUCUUAUUAGCUCAAAUUCUAAAAAUGAUAAUGAUUAAAGUAUAAUCUGUUACUUGUGUUAUAAAUAAGCUUGAAUACUUUACCAUAGAAAUAGGGUUUAAGCUUAAAAAUACAUUCUUUUUGUGUGAGAUAAAUAUAAAAAGAACUGGAUUUGUAUUUGAUGCGGUUUAUGACAUGCUAUUGAAAAUAAGUGUAAAUUACAUAAAUGUCAAUCGACUAUUAUAAUUUUUGUUAGAUUAUUCGAAUUUAAAAAGUUUCAAAAUAAUCAUUUAAUUUAUUAAAUUUAUUAUAUCCAAAACUGUUAUAAAUUAGUAACAGUCGAAUGGUGUGUUGUUAACUUAAUGAUAUGUUUUUUUAACCCAUUAACUUUUUUUCACAUUAUUUCCAUGUCAUAUUAUAAUUUAAAAAAAAAACUAAUUUAAACUCCAAAAUUCCAAUAUGACAUGGAAAUGUGGAAUAAAAUUAAUGAUUAAAAAGACAUAUCGUUAACAGCCACGUCAGCAGAUUAUUAGUAAUUUAACAGUUUUGAACUUAAAAAAAAUGAUUUUGAUAGUCUGAUAAUCAUUUUAUAAUUUUUAAAAAUCAAAUAAUUUAAAUAUAUAUAUAAUAAUCGGAUAGCCAUUUAUUAUGUAGUUUGCCAAAGUAUUUUAUCAAUUGGAAGAUGAAGCAGUAAACCAAUAAAUAUGUUGAAUAGUCUCCAAUUAAACCAUUUAAGAUAUAAAUCCCAAUAAGUUCAAUUAAUGGCUCUAAUCAACUUUACAAGAAAUAGUUCUUGACAAUUUGAAGGGUGAAUAAUGAAUUUUCAGAACUCUUUAAAGAAAAUCGAGAAGAAAACUACUUUUAAGAAUCAGAAGAAAAAAAUCUUACACAAAAAAACUAACUCUAAACACCUAAAGUACAUCUAAAUAAAACUCUAAUUAAUCUAAAUAGGGGUGAAGCCAUAAAUUUUUUAGGGAGCCAAAAUUAAAUUGUAAUUUCUACAAUAGUAAAAAUGUAAUUUCACCAUUUUAAUAACUUAUAUCUUUAUAAUUUUUAAAGGGUUAAAUCAAAUUUUUAUUAUUUUUAGGGGUCAUAAAGUGUAAUUUUACAUUUAUUAAUUUAAAUUUUUUAAAAUUUUAAAGGGUCUAAAUGAUUUUUUUUUUCAUUUUAAGGGAGUCAAUGCCUUGUCAUCUCCUAGCUAGCGUUUGAAUCUAAAUAAAAAAUAGUUUUAAACUAAAUUUUCUUAUUUAACUCAAAAUACUUGGCCUGCAAUAAUUUUUCUUGACAAAAAGAUCCUCCAAAUAUUAUUUAUAAAUUUGUAUUUGAUACGUUGAUAGUGUUUUUUUUAUUCUAUAAAUAGUUUUAAAAUUUUAUCAUAUAUCUAUUUUAAAAAAAAUUUAUUUAGUUUUAAUAUUUUAUUGUACACCUAUGAUAACACUUGUCAACCCUUAAUCCUAUUUAUAAAAUCUAAAAAUUUAGUAACAAUUAACCAAAUAUUUCUCAUUAUUUAUUAAACUUAAUUAAAUAAUAGGUUAUCUAGUAUUUUUGAGUUAGCUAUCUAUUUUCUUAACCAAAUAUUUAAAUUACCAUUAUGGACCUAUGUAGUUUUUUUUUAUAUAGGUAGACAACACCAUAAAGUAAUUACAUUCUUAAAGUACUAUUAACAUAGAGAAAUGAUAUUACGCUCAGCUAUUAGUAUAUUUCUCACUGGAAUCUCUCAAAAUAAUUGUACAUUACCUAAUCCAUGUGAAGCUAUCUUGGUUAUAUGAUCAGCAAUUUUAUUUUUAGAAUCUCUCAAUUUGCUAUUAGCCAUUCCACCAAUUAAAAUUAAUUCUACUAGAAGCGCAUUGUCGCAUUUAGUAUUUUUAAUUAUAAAAAAUAAAUUUAAUGUUAAAUAAAAAUUACUAUUUAAUAUUAUAUUUCCUCUCUCCUCAUAUACAUGUUCUUCCUUUCCGAUUCCGUCAUUUUCAUCCCUUUUCUCAUUCAUCUUCAUUCAUGCAGGUUGAAAGGUUUUUUCUUUUUCUCGUUAAGCCAAUGACAUGAAAUUUGGGUUUUUAUAUUGAUGGAGGAGAACCGUUUCUGGGUUGAAAACUAUAAAUUUUGGACUUCUAAACUUGAAAAACCUAUGGCUACGCUUUGAUAGCACCAUUUGUGGAUGAGGUGUUGAAGCAAAAAUCCUUUAUUAAAAAAAGUUUGGGACUUUGAUUUUUUUUUCAAAAGAGUUCUUUUUAUUUUCUUUAAUUGUAAAAAAACAAAGAAACUGUGUUGGGGCAAGAAAAAGAAAAGCUGGAGAAGAUUGAAAGGGUCUUUGUUUAUAUGCAGAAUAUUCAAAGAAAUAAUUUGAAUCAUUUCCCAUCCAAUUUUAUAAAAAUAAUUAUUUUAACCUUCUAUUUAUUAUUUUAAUCACUUUUUAAUUUUUAAAUUUAUAAUAUUUAUCAAAUUAUUCUAAAAUAAAUAAAAAAUUUAACAUCGGUUACUUUUGCUAAAAUGGUAUACGCGCCACUUAAAUAUCACAUCAUCAAUUAAUUUUUUUUUAAAAUUUAAGUUUCAAAAUUUAUUAAAAGUGUUUUAAAAUAUUAAAAAUAAAAAAUAUUUUUUAAUAUUAAAAAAUUAAUUAAUUACUAAUGUGACAAUUAUAAAUGCACACGUUGAUUACCAUAUCAACAAUGUUACAAAAGCUCAAUGGAGGGCUAAAAUGCAAGUCUAGUGUUACUAAUCUCACAUUGCUAAUAUAUAUAAAGUACAAAGAAUUUGAAUAGACAAUUCAUUAUAACUUGAGUAAUUGAGUUGGGUGCAAUUAGAUAGUUAACUUAUUGAGUUUUACGUAUAUUUGUUAUAAUGACAACUGGGCUUAAAUUUGGUGGUGUAAAUAAUUUUUAUAUAUAAUAAUUAUUUUUAUUUUUUAAAAUAAUAAAUUUUUAUUCGCAUUUGAACGAAUUUAUUCAAAUAAUCUAUGUUAAAAUUUACAGUAUCAAAUUUUACCUAACAAAAGGAAAAGAUUAUUUAUGACCAUAUAAGUUAUUUAAGAUUCUAAAUCAGGAAUUUUUCUUUCCAAAAAUAGAUUCACGACUGUCUAUUUUUUUUAACCGAAUUUUAAAACACACACACACCCAAGUAUUUUUAAUUAAAUAUAUAUAUUUAAUAUUAUAUUUCCUCUCUCCUCAUAUUCAUAUUCUUCCUUUCCUAUUCCUUCAUUUUCAUCCCUUUUCUCAUUCAUCUUCAUUCAUGCAGGUUGAAGGUUUUCUUUUUCUCAUUAAGCAAAUGACAUGAAAUUUGGGUUUUUGUUUUGAUGGAGGAGAACCGUUUCUGGGUUGAAAACUGUGAAUUUUUGGACUUCUAAACUUGAAAAACCUAUGGCUACGCUUUGACAGCACCAUUUGCAGGAGGAGGUGUUGAAGCAAAAAUCUUUUAUAAAAAAAUGAUAGGGACUUUGAUGUUUUUCAAAAGAGUUGUUUUUUAAAAUUGUAAAAAAAACAAAGAAAACUGUGUUGGGGAAAGAAAAAAAAAAGCUGAAGAAGAUUGAAAGGUUGUUUGCUUAUAAGCACAUUGUUAAAAAAAAAAUGUUUGAAUUAUCUCCUCAUAAAAAUUAUUUUUACUUGUACGAGUUCAUAAAAUUAGUACAAAUUAUCAUCAAAAUUCAGGCUAACUUAUCAGAACUUUGUUUCAUACAUGCUCAAUCUUUUGAAUACUCAAUUGAUUAUGUUUGAUUUUUGUUUGAAGAAAAUAUUCAUCGAGUAAUGAUUAAUAUAGAUACCCAUUAACUUUAUUAUAACUAAAUCUUCUUUUAAAAAAAUAUUCACAAAAUGCAAAAAUAACUAUUAAUAAACUUUAUUGGAAAAUUAAGCAUGUGUAUAAAUAUUUAUCAAAGACAUUGCUAGAAAGCAAACCUCAUGUUUAUUUUAGUCAAUUCAACAACUGCCUCUUCAUCGAACUCGUUCCAUAUCCCUUAAUAACGUCACUUUGAUCUUCUUUAACUUUGUAACAAUCUCUUUCAUAUGAAGCCUCUCAUUUGGUAACUCUACACAACAUUCUAAGCCAACUUGCAAAAUGGAUAAGGCACAAUUCUUGACUUUUAAAUCUUCCCUUCCAAUGGUGCUCAACAACUUGGGAUCUACAACUUGAUUUCGCGAAGAUGAUAUCGACUCUAUCACCCAACUCUUCAAGCUUCUUUCUCCUGCAAACAUUUCAUCUGUGGGCUUUUUUCUUGUGAUGAUUUCCAUCAAAAGAAUACCAAAACUAUACACAUCACCUUUUGUCGAAACAAUUCCUUCCAUUCCAUAUUCUGUAUGAAUAUAAAACAACAUUAUGAAUAUUCAAAGAUAUCUUGAUAAUGAAAAUUUCCUAUAAAAUAUCUCAAACAUUAUAUGCUUGCCUGUUAUAAUUGAACUAGGAUUUACUCUAGUUGCUUCCUUAAAAAGUCACAUUCAAUGUGUUUGAAACUCAAAUGUUAACAAAUAUAUAUGAUCCCUUUUGUUAUGCACAUUCUACACUUCCAUUGAAAAUGGAAAAAUAAAUAUGGAGUUUGAUUAGAAGUAUCACCUGGUGCCAUAUAUCCAAAUGUUGCCAUUGUCAUGGUUUGUAUCAUUGAAACCUCUUCACAUAAGAGUUUCGCGAUGCCAAAAUCACUCAAAUGUGCAACCAUAUCUUCAUCUAAUAGAACAUUGUUGGGUUUUAAAUCACAGUGAAUCACGGGUGUUGCAUUGCCGUGAUGGAGAUAUUCCAAUGUAGAUGCAACAUCUAUCAUUAUGUUCAACCUUUGUAGGAUAUCCAAAUAUUGGUUGUUGGAAUACAGCCAUUUAUCAAGACUCCCAUUAGGCAUGAACUCAAGCACCAACGCUUUGAAAUUAAGAUCAUUAGAGCAACUGCUUAUUACUUUGACUAAAUUUCUGUGACGAGUGUUGCGGAGAACAUCACAUUCAACAUCAAAGCUCUUAAAAGCUCCUUCUAACUCAAACUUGAAGACCUUUACCGCAAUGAUCGUCCCAUCCGGGAGAGUCCCUUGGAAUACUGCACCAUAACUUCCAUUACCAAGCAACCUACUAUCAUUGAAUCCAUCAGUAGCUUGACGAAGCUCGUGGUAUGAAAAUCGUCUCCACGUUCCUAAAGGUAUCAUGUCUUCUUGAGUUGGCAAUUUGUCUUUCCUCCUCCUAUUUUGCAAGAUAAUGAUAAUCAGAGCCACAACCAAAAUUGUGGAGGCAAUUGGCAAAGCUACAUAUAGUAUGAGCUUAGUUUUUGCCUUGGAAUUUCUAAGAGGUCUAGUUUUGCAGUUUGGAACAUGAAGCCGAGCUGCACCACACAAGGCUUCAUUCCUCUUAAAUGAUUCGAUUGUGUAGUUUUCAAAUGAUCCUCCUUCAGGAAUUUCACCUUCAAGCCUAUUAAAAGAGACAUUGAAAUAUUUGAGAUAACGGAGUUUCUCUAAGGAUUUGGGAAUCUCUCCAAAUAGAUUAUUUCUUGACAAGUCCAAGAAUUCCAAACUCAACGAUUCAUCAAAAGACUCAGGAAUAGAACCCGUGAUUCUAUUAUUGGAUAAGGAAAAAUGAGUGAGGUCCUUGAGAUCUGCAACUCCAGUUGGGAUAUCACCUGAGAACUGAUUGUUCGACAAAUCCAAACUACUCAAAACUUUCCAUUUUCCAAUGUCAAUUGGCAGUGGACCACUCAGAGAAUUUGAAGACAAGUAUAGGAUGAGGAGAUAGUUAAGCCUUGUCAACGUUGACGGUAUUGAAGAGGAAAACAUAUUGGAGUCUAGAAAUAGUUGCCUUAAUGAAGUGAGAUCACCUAAGCAAGUAGGUAUUGGCCCAGACAAUUUGUUAUUGGUUAAGAACAAGAAAGCCAAUUUGUUUAGAUGACAUAACUCAGUUGGGAUGGAUCCCUCUAACUUAUUGUCCUUAAGAGAAAGACUUUGCAACUCUUCCAAUCCUCCAACUGUAGUAGGAAUCUGUCCUAUCAAUUUAUUGCCUCCUAGCUCAAGGCUUAUCAAGUGACUUAAGUUUCCAAUUUCACUGGGGAUGCUACCCCUGAUGUUGCAUGCAGAAGCAGAGAACUCUUCAAGAGAACUUGAGAGAUUUCCUACCACUCUUGGAAGUUCACCACUAAUAAAUGAGUUGAUCUCGAAAAAAAGGUUCUCCAAGACUCUACAGUUUGUCAAAGAAAAGAGAAAGCUCAUUCCUGAGGAAGUUAAAUUAUUAUUCGCCAGGUUGAGAAUCUUUAAAUUUCUUAGAUUUCCCAGAUUAUCAGGAAUGGACCCUGAAAAGUAAUUACUAGACAUGUCAAGAAGAGUAAGCUGAGAGGCAUUGGAAAUAUACAUUGGGAUCGAGCCGGCAAGGUGAUUGAAACCAAGAUAUAGUUCCUCCAUGUUUGGAAGGAAAAGGCCCAUGUUUGAUGGAAGAUGGCCAGAGAGCUUAUUUGUAGCCAAAGAAAUCAUCCUUAGAGUUGAAAUAUUGAACAGUUGUGGAGGAAUAGAACCAGCAAUAUUGUUAAAUUGUAAAUUCAACCAAUUUAGAUUCUUUAGGUUGCCAAUCUCUUGUGGUAUUAUACCUGCCAUAAAUUUUAUCAAACAAAAAUAUUAGACAAAUAUGAGGAAGAAAAUAGUUUAUAUAUAUGAAACAUUUGCUUAUAUUUUUUAUAAUGUGUACAAUUAUAGACAAUUAGAAUCAACAAUAUUUACAAAAAAAAAUUAAUUCACAAUAAGUUUAAAUUGAAUAUUUUAGGUUUAAAGUUGGAAUAAGUUCAAAAUGAGAAGGGAUUGUAUGAAAUUGUGAUUCCACGUCAUGAUCAGAUUUUUCCUCCUAUUUUUAGCUUUUUCUUCUUGAAAAAAUUAAAAUCUAACUAAAAAAAGUUGAAAAUCAGGAGGAAAAAUCUGAUUUAUCAUUCUCCUAUUGGAAAGGAAUAAAAAUGACGUGGAAUCACAGUUUUAUACAAUCACUUCUCGUUCAAGAUAUAGAAAAUAAUGAUGAAAUAAAUGAUAAAGAACAAACAUUCAUAAGUCAAAUAAAAUAAUUAAGAACAUAAAAAUAAAUCAAAUAUGAUUUUUGGUUCCUUGAAGUUUUGUUUGGCCUCAACAGGGAUAAACGUAAAUAAUGGACUUAAAAAAAAAAGAAAUAUACUAAUUGCAAUAACUAUGAAAAAUUUUAUAAUUAUUGUAGAAUAAUCAAAACACAGAAAGCGGUUGAGCAAAAACAAAGUUCAAAUUAAUAAAAAGCUAUCGGUAAAAGUUGCAAAUUAAUAAAAAUAAUUUAGCUCUUUCUUAUACAUUCACCUGUAAAAUUGCUAUGGGAACAAUCAAACUCCAUAAGAAGAGUUAAAUUCACAAUUUGUUUAGGAAUUUCACCUGCAAUUAUAAAAUUCACAUUUCAAAUUCAAAAUUCAUCUCCUAGCAACGAUUAUAAGAAUAAAAUUAAGGUAUAAUGACUUGUUUAGCUCUUCAAUUUUAUUAAAAAGAAUCAUUUUAGUCUUUCAUUUAAUUUUUCAUCUCUUUUAGCUCUUAAACUUGCGAUGUUUGUCAAAUCAUCCCAAAAUGAAUUGAAAAUUCCAUGUGAUUGCCACAUCAACAAUUAGUUUUUUAAAUUUUAAAAAAUUCUAUUUUAUUGCUAACGUGUCAGCAAAGUAAACAAACAUUAACUUUUUCAUACAUUUUUUUGGGCUGAUAUAACAAAUAAUACAAGUUCAAGAGCUAAAAGAAAAGGAAAAUUAAAUAAAUAGUUAGAAUGACUUUUUUUUAUAAAGUUGAAGGGCUAAAUAAAUAAUUAUUCCUAAAGUAAAUAAAGCACGUUAGCAAGGUAUUUCACACAUACACACUUCCAAGCCAAGUUGGAACUAAAAGUAUAUUUCUCUCAUCAUUUUCAUGUAGUUUAUUCUUCAAUGUUCUUUUGAAAAAUUUCAACUAUGUAUUCGUUUAAUAAAUAAAUUUAUAUUUUCAAUCUCAAUAGAAGAUUGAUCUAAAUUAUUAUAGUCAUUACCUUAAUUUCAUUAAAAAAAAAUCGUUCCUUGCAUCUCAAAGUACUUAAAAAAAAGUAAACACUUCAAAAGGUUUUAAAAAUGGUUAGCAUAUGUUACCAUCAAAGUGGUUCCGACUGUUAGAAUUGUGUGACCCAAAUUCUAAGAGAUUGCUUGCAAGUCAAGUUAAACAAAAAUAUAUUUUCUUUCUAGAAGAUUUAGUAUUUAUUAGUAUAAAUAUAUUUAGCAUUUAUUAGUAUAGUUUAUUUGACUUGCUAAUUUAGCCUAUAAAUAGGCUCCUUUACAAUCUUAGAAUUAGAGAGACACCCAUUAGAUUAGAACUCAUAACACAUUCAGAGAAUUUUGUGUUUACGUUUGAGGGUUCUUUGUUUUUCGGGUUUUCGGGGUUUAGUUUUUAUCUCCAUCUUUUGUACUCUUCAUUUUUUUGCCAUUAUAGUAAAAUUAUCUUUGCCCGUAGUUUUUUAUCCUCUUUUGAGGGGUUUUCCACGUUAAAUUUGUGUGUUCAUCUUCUCAAUUUCUUCUACUAUUUUUACUUGUUCGUUGCUUAAUCGGGACGAUCCUAACAAGUGGUAUCAGAGCUAGUUUAACUUUCAUAGAUCAGCCCGGUCAGAGAUGGCAGCAACAAGGUUUGAAAUUGAGAAGUUCGAUGGUGAGACAAAUUUCAAUCUGUGGCAAGUUCGGAUGAUGGCAAUUCUAGUUCAAAAUGGCUUGAAAAAGGUUGUUACAGAGAAAAAGCUUGAGAAUCUAAAUCAAACAGAAUGGGAAGAGCUUGAUGAAAAGGCCUUGUCUGCAAUCCAGUUGUGCCUCGCGAAUACAGUAUUGCAGGAGGUAUUGAUGGAGAAUACCUCAUUCGCCUUGUGGAAAAGGUUAGAAACUCUUUAUGCGACUAAGUCUCUGGCUAACCGUUUAGUGUUGAAACAACAUCUAUUUACGUUUCGCAUGAACGAAUGUGAGCUUCUUAAAGAUCACAUCAGUCAAUUCAUUACUCUUUUAAAUGAUUUAAAGAACGUUGAGGUUCAUAUUAACGAUGAAGAUCAAGCUAUGCUAUUAUUGUGCUCUUUACCCUCUUCAUACAAGUCUUUCAGGGAGACCCUGAUUUAUGGCAGAGACAAACUCUCGUUCGAAGAUGUGAAGGGUUAUUUGUUGAGUAGAGACAAACUCGACAAUGAGUUUGAUUUGAAUAGCAAAGAAGAUAGACAAGCUUCCGUUUUGGUAGCAUCAAAGAAACGAGACAAAAUGUGUUGCUAUUGCAAAAAGUUAGGUCACGUCAAAGCAAAUUGUUAUAAACUGCGAAAUAAAAGAGCUGCUGAGAGUAACGAGGAAGAUGUAGCUGGUGCUAAUUUGGUCGAUGAAGGCGGUGAUGAUUUCUUGUUAGUGUCAACGAGCGAUAACUCCAAGCUUACGUCUGAGUGGAUCCUAGAUUCAGGAUGUUCUUUCCACAUGUGUCCCAAUAGAGAAUGGUUCUCCACAUACAGUUCAGUUGAAGGUGGAGUUGUGCACAUGGGAAACGAUUCAUCUAGUAAAAUAAUCGGUAAUGGUACUGUUAAAAUUAGGAUACACGAUGGGACGAUUAGGACACUCUCAGAUGUCAGGUAUGUACCUGAUUUACGAAAGAAUCUCAUCUCCUUGAGUAUUUUAGACUUGAAAGGAUGCAGAAUCAACAUCGAGUCGAGCGACAUUAAAGUAUCUCGUGGAGCUCUCGUUUUGUUAAAAGGUAAAAGAACCGGCAGUCUUUAUAUUCUGGAAGGUUUUACAGUGACCGGUGAAAUCGGACGUCCCUCAUCCGUUACAGAGUCAAAGUCAACUCAUUUGAAGCGGAGGCAACUUGGUCAUAGGAGGGAAAAAGGUAUGACCGUUUCGUUGAAGAGAGGUUCUCUUUUGGAUGCAGGUUUUGAAAAGUUAGGGCACUGUAUUCGUGAAAUUCAGACCCGGGUUAGUUUUGAUUUGGCAGUGCACAAGUCAAAGGCUAGAAGUCUUCCAGCUUCUAAGCAUAGAUUCGACUCAGUUAAUUCCCUGCAUAGUUCAAGAUAGGCCCGUGGCGGGUUUUGGCAAAGAUGGCAUUGAAAGAAUUUGUGUCAAGAUGGAGAUUGUUAGAAUUGUGUGACCCAAAUUCUAAGAGAUUGCUUGCAAGUCAAGUUAAACAAAAAUAUAUUUUCUUUCUAGAAGAUUUAGUAUUUAUUAGUAUAAUAUAUUUAGCAUUUAUUAGUAUAGUUUAUUUGACUUGCUAAUUUAGCCUAUAAAUAGACUCCUUUACAAUCUUAGAAUUAGAGAGACACCCAUUAGAUUAGAACUCAUAACACAUUCAGAGAAUUUUGUGUUUACGUUUGAGGGUUCUUUGUUUUUCGAGUUUUCGGGGUUUAGUUUUUAUCUCCAUCUUUUGUACUCUUCAUUCUUUUGCCAUUAUAGUAAAAUUAUCUUUGCCCGUAGUUUUUUAUCCUCUUUUGAGGGGUUUUUCCACGUUAAAUUUGUGUGUUCAUCUUCUCAAUUUCUUUUACUAUUUUUACUUGUUCGUUGCUUAAUCGGGACGAUCCUAACACCGACCAAUAUAGAUGUAUUGAAGCAUACUCAAAUUCCCAAUUUCUAUUGGUAGGCUCCCCUCCAUUUGGUUAUACGCUAAAGAUAACAUUUGUAACUCUUUGCACUUGAAUAGACUGGCAGGAAUUCUACCAGAAAGCAGGUUACGACUCCAGUACAAUCCUUUCAAAUUUGGAAGAUGAUCAAACAUAUCUUUUGGGAUAUGACCAGUGAGAUUAUUGGAGGAGAAAUGGAUGACUUCUAGCAAAAGUAAAUCACGUGGAACAAAGGGUAUGGAACCAGAAAGCAUAUUGUAGCUUAGAUAUAUUUCUUGCAACGAAGAGAUAUUGAAGAUGGUGGAGGGAAUUGAACCUGAAAUCUGGUUUCCAGACAAAUACAAGACCUCUAGCUUUGACAAAUAGGCUAAAGAGAAUGGAAUAACACCUUUGAAGUUGUUUUGGUCCAAAAACAACCUUCGAAGUUCAGUUAAUGAUCCCAACCAUGAUGGGAUUUCUCCAUUGAAGGAGUUGUUACCAAAGCUUAAAUAUUUCAGCCGUCGCAAAUUGGAUAACUGGACAGGUAAUCCGCCAUAGAAACUAUUGUUUGUGACAUGAAGAAGAGAAAGGAAUGAUAAAUUUCCCAAGUGAGGUGGAAGGGUGCCUACGAGUCCCAACCUAGUAAGGUUUAGAGCUGUGACUCUACGGUGCUUGGAUCUACAACUUACACCAAACCAAUUGCAAAUAGGGGCAGAGGCUGACCAGUUAGUCGUCAAGACAUUUUCAGGAUCCUGAAUAACAUGAUCUUUUAGUGCUAGAAGAGCUGACUGAUCUCUAAGUAUGGUUGUUAAUUUCAUAGAGAAAGUAGGCAUAGAGAAAUGGAAGAUGAUAAGAAGAGCUAAGUUGAGGAAAGUAUUCCCCAUUUGAAUUUGGGUGUUUAUGAAGCUACCAACAAAGGCAGAACGGAGAUUGCUAGACAGAUAAUUGAAUGAUCACUAACCGUAUGACCACACAACUUUUACAUAAUACGUGUAUGUAUAUAUAAAGGGAGUUUAUGUUGUAAUUUCUUCAUGCAAGAUUGCAAAUUAAUAUGAUUUACUUAGAAAUUACGGAAUUUAUUAUAAGACGUGAUAAUAUAAUUAUGUAAUUAUUGCUUAAAAUUUUUCUUUCUAAAUUUCAUAUUUCUUAAGAAAUUACAGUAAUAAAUUUUACAUAGAAAUAACAUUAACAUUAUUGUCAGUACAGGAGAAUGUGAAUUUGAAUGCAUUGAAACACAUUUAUCUUCUUAUAUAAGUAUUAGCAAAAAAAAUUAUGUAUAGUUCUAGACAUGUUAUAAAAAGAAUUUGAUAUAACAAGAUUUAGAAAAUAAUUUGCAUUAUUUAUUUUAGGAAAUUAUUGAAUAAAGAGAUCAAGAAUUUUCAAUUUAAAAAAUUUUAAAUUUAAAUCAUAACAGGAGAAGGAGUUUAGUUACUUUACAAUUAUCCAAGAUGGAUUAAAUUUGGUUUUAUAUCUAAGAUAUCAAAACCGUAAUUAGGUUAUGAUAAGCAUUAAACUAAAUUAUUGGAAUAAAAAUAUAGGUGAAAUUAUUAAUAAAAGCCGUUUUUUUUCAAAAUUUACUGAAAUGGGCUGAUUUUUUUAUUAUUUACCGGAAUGGUCUAUUUUCCGGGAAAUCGCAUCCACGUCAGAGCGAUGUCAGGGUACGUGUCAGGACAUUGCGUCCACGUCAGCGCGACCUGCUUACGUGGAAGGAAAUCGUGUCCUUGAGGGAGCGAUUUCCUUCCACGUCAGCAGGUCACGCUAACGUGGACGCGAUGUCGGCCGCGUGUGAACAGUACCCCAACGGUCAAAAAUUUGACCGUUGCCCCCCCAACGGUAAAAAAAAAACUAUAAAUACCCCCACCCCUUUUUUUUUUCACAAACAAAUCCUAUCUUCGAUUUCCUUCCAAAAUUCUCUCAAACCCAUAUUUAAUUUCAAUUUCCUCUCAAUUUCCUUCCAAAAUUCUCUCAAAUCCAUAUUUAAUUUCAAUUACCCCUCAAUUUUAUUUUUUAAAAUAAUUUUUAUAUUUUUAUAUUUUUUAAAAUAAUUUUUAUAUUUUUAUAUUUUUUAAAAAUAAUUUUAAAUUUUUUAUAUUUUCAUCAAUGGCCGGAUCAUUGAUUCGUCUUGAUAGGAUUCACAUAUCGGUGGAGCAAAUGAAAAUGGUAAGCAUUAAAUUUAAUUUUUAAAUAUUAUUUAAGAUUUUUUUAUUUAUGUAUUUUUAGAUAAUUAUUAAUUUAUUAUUUGUUAUAAAAGUCUGCAGAUCAGAUAUUGGAAUGCAAUAUCCGGAAUAUGCAUGCUCCUCCAUCACCGUUAGUAGAGAACUACUUGUGGGAAGCGGGUUUUUGGCACGUGGCGACGGUAGUCCGGGGAUGCAAGUUGGACCCGAAACUGAUUAGUGCGUUGAUCGAGAGGUGGAGACCCGAGACGCACACAUUCCAUCUUCCAUGUGGAGAGUGCACUAUCACUCUAGAAGAUGUCAGUCUGCAGUUGGGAUUGCCGGUGGACGGGCACCCAGUCACUGGGUCUGCCCAAUCUAGUAAUUGGGAGGCAGUGUGCUACGAGCUUUUGGGCGCUAUUCCGGAUAAAAUGGAUGGAGGUAAGGUCGAGAUGGGCUGGUUACGUGCCACCUUCCCCGAUCCGAAUGCAAAUUCAACUGAAAUUGAAAGAAUCUGAUAUGCUCGAUCAUACAUUUUUCAAAUAAUUGGAGGUUAUCUGAUGCCCGACACAUCACAGAGCCGUGUACAUCUAAGGUGGCUGCUAAAACUCGUUGAUUUUAGAGGAGCUGGUGAAUUUAGUUGGGGGUCUGCCGUCUUGACAACAUUAUAUCGGGAGAUGUGCGAUGUGACGCGACCGAGGAGAGAAAACAUCGGAGGUUGCCUGUCACUACUGCAAUCAUGGGCACGGUUUCGCUUUCCAUUUCUACAUCCUCGAGUGAACCACCCAUAUACAUUCCCACUCGUAACGAGGUAAAUUUUAUAUUACAUUUUGGAAUUAUUAUGUAGAUUUUGUAAGAAUAAAACUAUGCUAAAUAUUUAUUUAAUUAGGUGGAACCAUCAGGCAAGUUAUCGAGGAUUACCGUCUGAACUUGAAGAUAUACGGCUUCUAUUGGAGCAACGGUCGGAAGCAGAAGUAAGUAUUAUUGCAAAUAGAUAUUUCUAUACAUUCGCUAGUCGAUUGAUAUUUAGUAUUUAGUAUUUAGUAUUAUGUAUAUAACUAAUAUUUCUAUCAUGUUCAUAUAGUUUCAAUGGACACCAUACGAGGAUCCGGCAAUUCGAGUAGUAAUCUAGGAAGAGUUUUUACAAAAUCUGAACGCUUGGCACGCGAAAGUGGUGUUGAUCAACUAUGCAACCGUGGAGCCCCACCAGACAGACAGAGUGCUACGACAGUUUGGAUGUAGACAACCGAUUCCUGCGGACCUUGAGGUGUUUGACGAUCACCACAAAAUCGACCUUCGGCUAUUAGGUAUGGAUUGGCCUAGAUACUGGUCCGAGUACACACAAAUGUGGGAAAAUCGGCUUGAAUAUCUACCUACUCGGGAAGAAAUCAUCGUUCCGGAGUUAGCGUGCGUUCCAGAAUACAUGCCAUAGUUUAGGAUCCAUGGCAAGCCGUAUUUACUUAAGCCAGAGGAUAGGCAGCGGCAAAUACGUGUCGGCAGGGAAAGGCGCGGGCCUCUAAAUCCAAGACAAGAAUACUACGAAGGCAGCCCCUCAACGAGGCCCAGACAGUCACCGGCUCAUCAUCAGCAGCCAUGCAAUCACCGUCCCUAAUGAGAGCACCGACGCAGUCACCUGGCGCAGCAAUUCAACAGAUGAUACCCACGCAACCGCCUUUCCCUAUGAUGCCAGGUGUGUUUCCUAGCCCUUAUAUGUACCCUAACCCUUACAUGUAUCCUUUUCCGAAUCCUAUGGCAGGUUGGAGCCAAAUGCCCGGUUCAGCUCCAUUUCCUGUUAUGCCGAGCGGACCGUCGAUAUCUAGGCCAGCGGCGCAGGAGGGAUCGCAAGGGGGGCCGUCGGGGAGCUCUCCUUUUUACCAAUCGCCACCAACGUAUGGCUUUCAAACACCGUUGUCGUUCAUGAUGCAAACACCUCCACAUACACUAUUCUUUGAAGGUGGAUCAUCGUCCCAAGUCCGACAACCAGAUGCCGAACCGGAAGAACCACAAUCACCACCGAAGGAAGAACAACCGCCGCCGGAAGCUAGAGGAAGGAGGAAUCUAGCGCGUAACCGUCGACGGCCGCCAUGUGCAACUGAAUCCCUCGGGCAUAGACAUUGAUUGCCGUAUUUAAAUUUAUUAUUUGAUGUAAUAAAAUAGAAGUUUAUUUGAUGUAAUACGUAUAGAAAUUUUUUCGAGUUAUUUUGAUAUUAUUUGAUGUAAUAAAAUAGAAGUUUAUUUGAUAUAAUAGGCAUAGAAAUUUUUUCGAGUUAUUUUGAUAUUAUUUGAUAUAAUAAAAUAGAAGUUCUAUUUGAUGUAAUAAAAACCAUAAUUUAAUUAAAAACCCUAACCAUAACCUAACUUAAUUAAAAACCCUAACCCUAACCUAAUUUAAUUAAAACCCUAACCCUAACCUAACUUAAUUAAAAACCCUAACCCUAACCAAACUUAAUUAAAAACCCUAACCCUAACCUAACUUAAUUAAAAACCCUAGCCCUAACCUAAUUUUACAUAAUUUGAUAAUUUUACUAACCAUUAACACAAUUUUUGGACUUAAUAAUUUUACAUAAUUUGAUAAUUUUACUAACCAUUAACAAAAAUUUUUUUGGCUUAAUAAUUUUACAUAAAUUUACAUAAUGUUAGAUUUGGUAAAAUAUUUUGACUGGUACUAACAAUUAAGAAAUUAAAAUAAUUUGAUAAUUUUACUAACAAUUAAUACAAUUAUCAAUUAAUAAUUGAAUAAAAUAUAUUUUUUUCUAAAAUUACAUUCAACUAUUGCGAUUAGGGCAUGAUCGACUUGUAUGGCCUGGGUUCCUACACCAUCCGCACAACUUCUGUUGACUGGUUGUUUCUCGGAUAUCCAUAUUGUUCCGUAUUCUAGUGGAGCACGGUCGACCCUUUAGUUUGCGACGCAAUUCUCUAUCCGGUAACAGCUUAAAAAGAGCAAGAGAUACGGGCGGCCACUUACGUUCAUCUGGGACCGGUGGGAAAACGUGUCUCCAUACGUUGUACAUGUUUUCUAAUUUGUACACUUCGUCCACAUAACUCAUCGAAUCCAGACGGAGUUUCUGACAAGCUGCAAUAACAUGAGCGCAUGGAUAGCGAAGUACAUCAAACUUCCCACUGUCACAAGUCCUGUUUUGCAAGUGUACACGAUAUUGUCCGCCAACAACACCUUGGUGCGGUCUGUCAAACUCUGUCACACGAAACCAUAAAUUGUCUCGAUCGUGACACACUGUGUGCAUGAUGUUUGCCCUCGCCUUCGCCUUGUUAAUUUCUUGAACUACCUUACUGCACCAUACAUGGCCACCCUGCAUCUGGCCUGCAUAAGUUGCUGCUCGCUUUGGAAAUAGCGCCGCCAAACGGAAAUAUGUCUCUUGCACAACCGAUGUUAUCGGUAGAUGGCACGUUCCUUUAAUAACAGAAUUUAUGCAUUCUGCCAGGUUUGAUGUCAUAUGGCCAUAUCUCAGGCCUCCGUCGUAUGCUUGUACCCACUGUUCGAAACGUAUGUUACAAAGGUAGUCUGCCCCUUCUCCGUUUUGGGAUCGUAAAAUUACCAACAUCUCGUGAAAACGAUCUUUAUUUAUUUCAUACCCCGCCAAUAUAAGAUUAUAGCGAAUAUUUUAUACCACUUCUACCAAUAAAACUAAUUCAAAUUGACAAACGAAAUAAUAUAGUUAUAGACUAAAUACCCAUAUUGGUCACUUGUCGUCGUUCGCUCUUAGAUGGAUAUUGCUUGUAGUAGUUCGAAGCAGCGUAUCUUAGGCAAUAUCUAUGGUGUGUGCGCUGCCACAAGCUUCCCUGUCGAUCAAAUGUAGCAGUAUACCGGCGCCCCGAUCUGAAAUAACAUAGAUAUCAGGUUGGGGGCACACAUGCCUCCUUAACCUAGAGAGAAAGAAAUCCCAGUCAUCAGACGACUCCCCCGGUGUUAUUGCAAAUGCAAUUGGAAGAAUUUUCCCACCGCCGUCCUGUGCCACUGCAACCAAUAGCCGAUGAGUAUACCUACCGAACAUGAAGGUACCGUCAAUUUGUACCAAUGGCUUGCAGUAUGGAAAUGCGUCUCGGCAUUGCUUAAAGGUCCAAAAUAGGCGUUUGAACACUUGACAUCCACGUAGCAAUCGGCCGUUGUAGUACGCAUGUUUCGUUUCAAGGUCUGUGAUGGCACCUAGGACGUAUCUCUCUAGCACCUGACACCACUGUCAUAUUUCAUUAUAUGAGGCGUCCCACCCACUAUGCAUCUUCUCCAACGCCUUUUGCUUAGCUAUCCAAGCCUUGCGGUAAGAGGGCGUGUACCCCAUUUGGCUACGAAUAUUGGCAACUAUCACCAGCACUGAAGUCCUAGGAUCUGCUUUUAUCAUGGGCAGUAUCAAGCUAUCUAACAUAGCUGAAUCCAUUUUGGGAUGAUCUUGUGAAACACCUACAGAGGGAGUACAUUAAAUAAUGCAACAUUGCAAAAUAAAAUAAUUAUUUAGAUACAUUAAAUCAUGUACCUGCAGCACAUGUAUGUGGACCUUUGUACUUUUUAAUCUCCCACAACCUUGUCCUUUUCCUUAACGAGACGACGAUUUUCCAUGAACAUGUGCCGUCUUGCACCGCACACUUCGCCUCAAACUUAUCAGAUUUUAAUUUAACGACGUGGUCAUUAACGCCGUUUUUGAUGCUAUGCUGUUUCAAAGCACCAAUAAAACUAUCCUUGUUGGUAAACUGAUUACCAACUUCAAGUUCACCGAAAUUUACCCCCGAACUUGUACGAUCGCACAACCGGUGUGGUAGAUCUGGAAACUCUAACGCAUCAUCUGCUGACAGAUCGACAUUAUGCAUGUGGGCUGGAGGUGAGUAUGCUCUGAAUCGUGAAUUUUCUUCAUCAUCUGAACUCCUUUCAGCAUCUUCACCUUCUGUUGGAAUAGGCUCCGGUUCAGAAAAUAAUCUCACUUCUGCACCAUCCUGCCCGGGCUCUCGAGGUGGAUCCACAUCGGAGUCAUCUUCUAACCCACAAUCAUCUGCAGCGUACGACGUCCCUUCACCGGUUGACGUCGUAGGUAGUACGUCAUCCCUUCUUCUGGGCAUUUGAUAACGUUUCCAAUUAGAUGUAGAUUGCCAUCCACUAGAACUUGAUGUAGUUCCCCAGUACGUAUUUCCAGCAUCAAACGUCGAGCCACCGACAUAUAUGUCCCAUCCACCGACAGAGUGUCUUGCGGGGGAUGCAUUCGACAGCGCUACCGAACAUGGGCUGUUCUAUAUUUUGUAACCCGCUAACCGAGUGUCGGCCAGGGGUCGUGUAUACAUCUCAAACACCAGACGGAAGUACAUCAGUUGGCAACGUAAAUUGUACAUAUAACUCAAUAUAAGUUGCUCCACUAGCAAGAUGAGUCUCCACCAUUGCCUCAAAGCUACGAGCACAUUUUCUGUCGAACGAGUCAUAUGUCACCGGAUCAACACAAGAACAAAAUCGAUACGUGAUUGACAAAACUUUCAUUGGCAUCGUUCCGAAGAUUUUACGCCUAAUUCUUUUACGAAGUUCUGUCAAAUCUAUGUUCUGGUUAAAUGACAGUCACACCGUAUUCUCCGACUAAAGAACAACACCAUUCUCGGUGUGGCAAACCUCACCAUCGUAGUAAAUAACAGCACUAAUACAUUCACUCAUUUUGAAACUCUAACUUUCUUAGCCUCUCUAAAUUGUUUCUGCUAUGACUUAUGCAUUCUAAGAACAUUUUCUGCCUAAUUUAUAGCCUCAGCUCAAACUUGCUACUGCAGCAAAAUCGCGUCCACGAGGGCGUGAUUUCACAAUUUCUUCUCAAAUAGCAUCCUGGUACAAGCGAUUUUAUACUAUUUGCUCAGAAACGUCAAAAAAAAUUAUUUCUUACAUGACCUACUGUAGCAAAAUCGCGUCCACGAGGGCGCGAUUUCACAAUUUCUUCUCAAAUAGCAUCAUGGUACUAGCGAUUUUAUACUAUUUGCUCAGAAACGUAAAAAAAAUUAUUUCUUACAUGACCUACUGUAGCAAAAUCGCGUCCACGAGGGCGCGAUUUCACAAUUUCUUCUCAAAUAGCAUCCUGGUAGAAGCGAUUUUAUACUAUUUGACCAGAAACGUCAACUUAAAAUAAUUUAUUCCGGGACCUAAAAAUCCUAAAAAGCCUGAACCCUAAACCCUAAAAGCCAAAAAAACCAAACGUGAAAAAAAAGUCAAAAUCACGUCCCCCGGAAUGUGCUACGUGGCAGGACAUCGCGUCCACUUCAGCGCGACCUACUGACGUGGAAGGAAAUCACUCCCUCAAGGACGCGAUUUCCUUCCAUGUCAGCAGGUCACGCUGACGUGGACGCGAUGUCCUGACACGUACCCUGACAUCGCUCUGACGUGGACGCGAUUUCCCGAAAAAUGGACCAUUCCGGUAAAUAAUAAAAAAAUCGGUCUAUUUCGGUAAAUUUUGAAAAAAAAACGGCUUUUUUUGGUAAAUUACCCAAAAAUAUAAGCAAUUUUACAAUAUUCGUGGUGGGAACAUAUCCCAUCACCAACUUUUCAUAACUUCUUUUUCCCAUUUUAUAAAAUGUCUAUAGAUUAAGUACUGGCUCUUCAAUUUUCUAAGUAUUCAUUGUCUUACCCCUUUCUUGGGUUUGGUUUGGGAAGGUUGCUUGACUUCGUUGUGCAAUUUAAAGUCUUUCCAAUUUGUCGUUUUAGAAGUGAUCGGAAAAUUUGCACUUCUUCAUGUACUAGAAGAAAAGUGAUUGGGUUCAAAGAAUAAAAACAGGGAUAGAUUAUUUACAUAGUUUAGUUUUUCUAUUCCUACAGAGCCUACGUUAUGAGGAAUAGUUUAGUUUAUGUUGUAGUUUCUUCCUGCAAGAUUACAAAUUUUUUUAAUGUGAUUUACGUAGAAACUACGAAAUUUAUUAUAGGAUGUGAUAAUAUAAUUCUAUAAUUAUUGCUUAAAUUUUUUCUUUCUAAAUUUCAUAUUUCUUAAGAAAUUACAGUAAUAAAUUUUACAUAGAAAUAAUAUGUAGUAUUGAAAUUAAAUUGCAGUUGUACAAAGGUUACAACUUUUUUAUUAAAUUAUUAAAAUUAUUAGAGAACAUGAUAAAAUUAAAUGAGAACCUUUUUAUCAAAGUGACAAGUGAGCAGUCGCUUUGAAGAAUAUAAAUAACCCUUCCGCUUGCUUAAUUUGUGUUUCUAUUGACUAAAAAAAUUUUGAACAAAAAGGAUAUUGACUAAAAAUUAAAAUAACCAUGAAAUCUUUUACAACAUUCAACGAGGUUGAAAGAUUUUAUUUUUAAUUUUUUUUAAAUAAUAACUUAUUUGGCUUCUAAUUUUAUAAAAAAAUUAUUUUUUAUUCCUUAAAACUUAUAUUAUUUAUCAACAUUGGCUUACUCCUUCGUUGGGUUUGGUUUGGGACGGCUGCUUGACUUCGUUGUGCAAUCUAAAGUCUUUCCACUUUGUCGUUUUAAAAGUCUGCAUAUCGGAGAAUAUCACAAUUGAGAAAGAAUUAUAUAUUGCUGUGAAACUGAACGUAGUUGCUAAUAUAUACGUUAAGUGAUUAAAAACUUGGCACCUCUUCAAGUGCGGGAAGAAGUGAUUGCGAAGUUGACACUUUUUCUAAGUUAUUAAAAAAAAUAAAUAGGAGACACAUAUUGUUUACUUAGUUUGGUUUCUUACGUUUGCGGAUCUUAGUUUAGUGAAAAAUAUCUACUAUCUCCAACAUUUAUAAUGAGUGAUCUUAAAUCUAUCACAACUCACUACAAUUUCCUCACUUUUGUACUUUUGAAAAUCGGUACUUUCAUCACUAAAUUCACUCCUGUGAACUUAAUUUAUAAAAUCACAACACACAAGUUUUACAAUCAAAUGCACUCUUACAAACAAUAUUCUUCGCUUAAACAGACCAAGUUCUCUCAAUUCUCUAUACAAUCACCUAUACAAGUCUCUCAAUUAUAAAUAGAUUUCGAGAUUUACUAACAUAAUGAAAAUCUAUAUCAAUCUCUAUUAAACAACAACUAAACUAGUUGAAUAAAUUAUAAUAAUAAAUAAGGUAAACAAGGAUUGUUGGCAGCUAAGUCUUCUACGUUCCAAUUCGAUUCAACUUUCUCGAUCCAAGCGAUUAGAUAUACAUGGUCCGAUCCAAUCCGAUCCCUUAAACAUGUUUCCUGAAGUGAUAUGAUCUGUAACACCCCAAACCCAGCCUAACGUUAUAUAUGGUCUAACAUAUAAUAAAAUUUAUUAUUUAUAAAAUAAACUAAAAAUAAAAAGAGAGAAAAGUUUGAAUAUGGUUUAAAUAUUGUUUGUGAGGUUUUUUUAAAAAAUAUUUUAUUUAUAAAAAUAUUAUUUUAAGAAAUAAAUGUUAUGUUAGAAAGAAGAGAAAAUGGGUAUUCAUGUGUAUUUAUAAUUGUGUUAUGUAUUGUUAUAAAAAUUUAUGUGUUUUUAUAAAAAAAAAACUUUUACAUAUUUUGAAUUUUUAAGAAGUAAAACUACAUUGACAAAAUGUAUAAAAUUGAGAGCUAAAUUUGUUGAUUUUUUAGAGUUAAAGCUAAAUUGAUAGAAUCUGUCAACAUUAGAGGGUUAAAUUUGUUAUUAUAUUAAUAAAAAAUGCCACCGUUAAUGAUUUAACAGAGGAACAACAAAAAUAUUAAAAUUUGAUAAUAUUAAUGAAUGAAAUAAAAAUUUUUAAACUUAAAUGACCAAAAUAGAAACACACUAAUAAUUAGAUAAACUAUUUUUUUUACUUUUCCCUAGAUUUAAUAAUGUUACCCGAUUUUCCAUGAUUCCUCCAUUUUCUUACCCCUUUCUUGGGGUUGGGACCCGGCUUCACUUUAUUUGUGCAAUCUAAAGGCCUUUCAACUAUGUCAACAAUUGCUUAUGAACUUAUAAUGCGAAACCUUAAGCAAUUGGACAACGAAGCUAUCACUUUUCUUCUUCAAGGAUAAUUAAGAUGGGUCCGGCAUGGUCACUAAAUUUCCAUCACUUUUUGGCCAUUUUCUUUUCUAUGUUUUGCACAUUUUUAAAUCUCUAUACAUUCAAUAAUGCUCCCCAAUUGAAGGUUCUUCUUUUUCAAACCUCGUCUUUUACUCGACUUUGUUGUGCAAUUUAAAGUCUUUCAGCUUUGUUGUUUGGGUAACUUAUAAAAAUAGUCACUUAAUUUUAGUUAAAUUUAUUUUCUCACUGAAUUAUAAAAAAAUUACAUUUUAGUCACUAACAGUAUCGAGUUAUAACGUUUUGGUCACUCAUCCAUUAACCGCCAUUUUAUCCUUAAGGAAAAGUGCCGUUAACUCAAGGGUUAAUAUUUAAUUUGACCUUUGAACUAUAGUUAAAACAUUCAACUUGGUCAUAAUUUAUUAAAAAAUAUUAAAAAUAAAAAAUUUAAAAAUUUAUUUAUUGUUUGAUACUAUAAAAAAUAUAUAUUUUGAAAUUGUAAUUAUGUAAUGUUUUAAAAAACCAUAGAAUCCUUUAAAUUUAAAUUAUAUUAGAAAUCCUAUCACAGUUGUGCACAUGUGGCAAUCAUGAAUUUAGAACAUAGAUUUGUGUUUAAAAAUGAAAUCCAAUAAAUAAUGAAAUCGUAUAGUUUGAAACUAAUUAAUCAUAAUAACACAUGAAAUAUGUAUGAUAUUAAAGUUAAAAAAUUAGAUUAAAUUGUGAGUAAAACUAAACUUAAACAUAUAAAUACAUUAAAUUAACAAUACUAAACCAACUCAACUAAUAACAUUAUUAAUAUAUACAAUGGAUGAAGUGUGCAUAAUAAAAUUAAAUUGUAUAUGAAAAAAUCAAAAUAAAACUUUGGUUGAGUGGUUAAUUUAGGGUUUUGCUAAUGUGAUUGACGUAGAUAUUAUAAUAUGUAUAUUUUUUAUUUUUUUAAGAAAGUAAAAGAUUAAAGUACCCCCGAAUAAUAUAAUUUAUUUAAUUACAAAAGAACAUUUCCAUAAUUUCUCUAACCGAGUUGAUGCUCGUCUAACUCGUAAUAUCAACUCAAUCAAAGACUUAAAAUAAUGGUAUAGAUAAAAAUGUAGAUUGAGUCAUGGUUAUCUGAACCUAUUGAACUGGCAAUGAUACCAGUCUGGAGAGAGGCAUUAGAUCAGUUCACUCGCAAACCAGUACAGACCAAUAUUAGAACUAGACUAAAAAACUGAUUGAAUCGUUUUUUUAAUAUUUUAAUAAUUUGUAAUCCAACUAUACAAACCAAUAUUUCAACCACCAUUUUAGUUCUAAAAACUUUGCUUAAAGUAUAUUUAAUUUUUAAUUAUUUACUUUAUAAUUCUACACAAAUACAUAAUUACCGCAGCUUCAGAACAGACGAGGACUAAGAAAAAGAAUCAGCUAAUUUUACUGAUUGCAAUUCUAUGAGUAACGCAGCAAACUUAGCUUUCUUUAAUUUCGUCUCACACUAAUAAUUUGUAUCUAUGAUUUAACUUGGACAAGAUCUUUAUCAAGUUGUUUUUUAUGCAAUUGACUAAUAAAAUUCCAUAUUGAGCCAUCGAAUUUACGAGAAAUGGAUACAACAAUGACUUCAAAAUAAAUUGGACUUUUUAUUUUGCAAUUCACUUUUAUAGUUUCAAUAAUGGCCAACCAAUUUUCCAUGACUUUUAUAGCUUGACUUAAGUUGUGCAAUCUAAAGUCUUUUUCUAAACCGUGAGAACAGAAGAAAACAUAUGAGCAGCCAUUGUUGAAGUCCCAUGUUCGGCCAAGCUUCUCAUUUUACACGGUGAGUAAUUUUAAUCUCGUUUUUCAUGAAUUUUAUAUUUUUGAGAUUAUUGUAAUUUUAAUCUAGUUUAGCUAACUCAAGUGUUAAUUUUUGAAACUGUUAAAAUUUCUAAAUGUUACUAUUGAUGAAUGAUUGAUGAAAUUAGUAUUAAUUGAUUAGAUUUUUCUGCUUAGAUAUGAAAAAGGCUUAAUUAUCAAUUAUCAAUUCCAAAUAAAAAAUAUUAUUGAUAUUUUCUAUUAUGAAAACCCAUUCUCAAUGUGUUGAAUCGUUGAACAAGUAAUUUUUACUUCUAUUGUGGCAAAUUCAAUGGAGGGAGUUAUCUUCUUAUUUCUACCAUAAAAAGUUUCUCAAUAAAUUUCAUUGGGUGAAAAUUUUGAGUUAGAUUAGAGUGCUUCAAAAUCUCAUGGCAAUUAACAAAUUACGUGAAUGUGUGUGAAAAUAGGAAGGAUAUUAGUAGUUCACCUCUAAUUGCUUAGGCAUGAUACUCGUUGUGAAAAUAGGAAGUUUCUCAACAAUUCCCAUGAUACUUGUUGGAUAACUCGAUCAUCUUUUUUACAGGAUGUAAACUUUUCUAAAUGAUAAGGAAAGGAAAAGAAAACUUAGGCAAUUCAAUUUAAGUAGUUCACAUUUAAUUGCCUACCUCCACUUAGUAUCCUUUAAUCAAAUAAUUUCUCAAAUUACUAUAAGAAUUUGUACCUUUCGAGGAGAAGGUAUAACAUUUACAGCACUAUCUUUUUCUUAAGGCUUAGAUAUAACCUUUCCCUCUAGCUUUUAUAGUUGUUGUAUAGUCGUCGUUGGCAAGUCAUGUCUCGAGACAAUUUAUCAAUUGUCUUUAGACACACUGCACUAUAUCUCAAGACAAGUAGCUCCUAUCAAUUGGUACAAGCCAGUAUGAACUAGUAUAAGUUAGUAUUGACUGAAACGAGCUUAAACAUACUGGAAUUGUCAAAACACAUCAAAAUCUUAACCAUAAUGAAGCCUAUACUAUUUAGUAUUGGUUGAAGACCAGAAAGAUACGCAUCGAGUGUGUUAAAUGUUGAUGUCCUUUUUAUGUACUGUUUAUAUUUUUGUUCUUUUAAUAAUAUUUGUUUGGCUUAUAAAAAUUAUUUUUAUUAAAAUAAAAUAAAUGAAAAGCUUAUGCAAAGACUAAAAAAAGAUAUCAAAAUUUGCUAUGUUUUGAUAUUGGGCAUUUAAUAAUUUGUACCUAUAUUUAAAAAAAAAUUGUACCAAUACAAUUUCAUAAAAUUAGUACAAAUGGUCAUCAAAAUUCAGCGUAACUUCCUAAAUAUAUUGCUAAUUGAUAUAAUUGAGAACGGUUAUGCGGUUGAUAAUAAUCUUUUUGAACUUCGUUUAGUACAUGAUUUAUGCAAGUAAUAUUGGCAACUUAAGUUUCGGCAUGUCCUGCGAGAACAUAAGAGACUGACAGAUUGCAUGACCAAAGUUGUUCUUAGUAAUCUUAAUAGGUUAACAACUUUUGAAGACCCAGCUAAUCAUGCUCGAUCUUUGUUAGAAGAAGAUGCUCAUCGAGCAAUGAUUAAUAUAGACUCUCAUCAACCUAAUUGUAGCUAAUUCCUUGAACUUGUUUCUUUUUUAAAAAAAUUCACAAAAUGCAGAAAUAACUAUUAAUAAACUUUUUAGGAAAACAGAGCAUCUGUAUAAAUAUUUAUCAAAGACAUUGCUAGAAAGCAAAGCUUAUGUUUAUUUUAGUCAAUUUAACAAUGGCCACUUCAUCGAACGCGUUGCAUAUCCCUUGAUAACUUUACUUUGAUCUUCUUUAACUUUGUAACAACCUCUUUCAUAUGAAGCCUCUCAUUUGGUAACUCUGCAGAACAUUCUAAGCCAACUUGCAAAAUGGAUAAGGCACAAUUCUUGACUUUUAAAUGUUCCCUUCCAAUGGUGCUCAACAACUUGGGAUCUACAACUUGAUUUCGCGAAGAUGAUAUCGACUCUAUCACCCAACUCUUCAAGCUUCUUUCUCCUUCAAACAUUUCAUCUGUGGGCUUUUUUCUUGUGAUGAUUUCCAUCAAAAGAAUACCAAAGCUAUACACAUCACCUUUUGUCGAAACAAUUCCUUCGAUUCCAUAUUCUGUGUAUGAAUAUAAAAACAACAUUAUGAAUAUUCAAAGAUAUCUUGAUAAUGAAAAAUCCGUAUAAAAUGUACGAAACAUUAUAUGCUUGCAUGUUAUAAUUGAACUGGGAUUUAAUCUAGUUGCUUCCUUAAAAAGUCACAUUUAAUAUGUUUGAAACUCAAAUCUUAACAUAUAUGAUCCCUUUUGUUAUGCACAUGCUACGCUUACAUUGAAAAUGGAAAAAUAAACAUGGAGUUUGAUUAGAAGUAUCACCUGGUGCCAUAUAUCCAAAUGUUGCCAUUGUCAUGGUUUGUAUCAUUGAAACCUCUUCACGUAAGAGUUUCGCGAUGCCAAAAUCACUCAAAUGAGCAACCAUAUCUUCAUCUAAUAGAACAUUGUUGGGUUUUAAAUCACAGUGAACCACGGGUGUUGCAUUUUCAUGGUGGAGAUAUUCCAAUGCAGAUGCAACAUCUAUCAUUAUGUUCAACCUUUGUAAGAUAUCCAAAUAUUGGUUGUUGGAAUACAACCAUUUAUCAAGACUCCUAUUAGGCAUGAACUCAAGCACCAACGCUUUGAAAUUAAGAUCAUUAGAGCAACUGCUUAUUACUUUGACUAAAUUUCUGUGACGAGUGUUGCAGAGAACAUCACAUUCAACAUCAAAGCUCUUAAAAGCUCCUUCUAACUCUAACUUGAAGACCUUUACCGCAAUUACCGUCCCAUCCUGGAGAGUCCUUUGGAAUAGUGAACCAUAACUUCCAUUACCAAGCAACCUACUAUCAUUGAAUCCAUCAGUAGCUUGACGAAGCUCGUGGUAUGAAAACCGUCUCCACGUUCCUAAAGGUAUCAUGUCUUCUUGAGUUGGCAAUUUGUCUUUCCUCCUAUUUUACAAGAUAAUGAUUAUCAGAGCCACAACCAAAAUUGUGGAGGCAAUUGGCAGAGCUACAUAUAUUAUGAGCUUCAGCUUAGUUUUUGCCUUGGAAUUUCUAAGAGGUCUUGUUUUGCAGUUUGGAACAUGAAGUCGAGUUGCACCACACAAGGCUUCAUUACCCUUAAAUGAUUCGAUUGUGUAGUUUCCAAAUGAUCCUCCUUCAGGAAUUUUUCCUUCAAGUCUAUUAAAAGAGACAUUGAAAUAUUUGAGAUAACGGAGUUUCUUUAAGGAUUUGGGAAUCUCUCCAGAUAGAUUAUUUCUUGACAAGUCCAAGAAUUCCAAACUCAACAAUUCAUCAAAAGACUCAGGAAUAGAACCCAUGAUUCUAUUAUUGGAAAAGGAAAAAUGAGUGAGGUCCUUGAGAUCUGCAACUCCAGUUGGGAUAUCACCUGAGAACUGAUUGUUCGACAAAUCCAAACUAGUCAAAACUUUCCAUUUUCCAAUGUCAGUUGGCAGUGGACCACUUAGAGAAUUUGAAGACAAGUAUAGGAUGAGGAGAUAGUUAAGCCUUGUCAACGUGGAAGGUAUUGAGGAGGAAAACUUAUUGGAGUCUAGAAAUAGUUGCCUUAAUGAAGUGAGAUCACCUAAGCAAGCAGGUAUUGGUCCAGACAAUUUGUUAUUGGUCAAGAACAAGAAAGCCAAUUUGUUGAGAAGACAUAACUGAGAUGGGAUGGAUCCUUCUAACUUAUUGUCUUUAAGAGAAAGACUUUGCAACUCUUCCAAUCCACCAAUUGUAGUAGGAAUCUGUCCUAUCAAUUUAUUGCCUCCGAGAUCAAUGCUUAUCAAGUGACUUAAGUUUCCAAUUUCAUUGGGGAUGCUACCCCUGAUGUUGCAUGAAUAUGCAGAGAACUCUUCAAGAGAACUUGAGACAUUUCCUACCACUCUUGGAAGUUCACCACUAAUAAAUGGGUUGCUAUCGAAAGGAAAGUUCUCCAAGCCUCUACAGUUUGUCAAAGAAAAGAGAAAGCUCAUUCCUGAGGAAGUUAAAUUAUUACUCGCCAGGUUGACAAACUUUAAAUUUCUUAGAUUGCCUAGAUUAUCAGGAAUGGACCCUGAAAAGUAAUUAUUAGACAUGUCAAGAACAGUAAGCUGAGAGGCAUUGGAAAUAUACAUUGGGAUCGAGCCGACAAGGUGAUUGCUAGCAAGAUAUAAUUGCUCCAUGUUUGGAAGGAAAAGGCCCAUGUUUGAUGGAAGAUGGCCAGAGAGCUGAUUUAUAUCCAAAGCAAUCAUCCUUAAAGUUGAAAUAUUAAAUACAUGUGGAGGGAUAGAACCAGCAAGAUUGUUAAAGUCUAAAUCCAACCAAUUUAGAUUCUUUAGGUUGCCAAUCUCACGUGGUAUUAUACCUGCCACAAAUUUUAUCAAACAAAAAUAUUAGACAAAUAUGAGGAAGAAAAUAGUUUAUGUAUAUGAAACGUUUGCUUAUAUUUUUUAUAAUGUGUACAACUAUAGACAAUUAGUGUAUCAAAUAUGAAUCAACAAUAUUUACAAAAAAAAUUAAUUCACAAUAAAAUUGUUUUUAUAGAGCUCUUGCAAAUAUUAAAGUACUUCAAGUAAUUUUAAAUUGAAUUUUUAGGUUUAAAGUUGGAAUAAGUUCAAAAUGAGAAGGGAUUGUAUGAAAUUACAAUUCUAUGUCAUCUUUAUCCCUUAUAGGAGAAUAACAAAUCAGAUUUUUCCUCCUAAUUUUUAGCUUUUUCUUCUUGAAAAAAUUAAAAUCCAACUAAAAAAGUUAAAAAUUAGGAGGAAAAAUCUGAUUUAUCAUUCUCUUAUUGGAAAGGGAUAGAGAUUACGUAGAAUCACAGUUUCAUACAAUCACUUCUCAUUCAAGUUAUAGAAAAUAAUGAUGAAAUAAAUGAUAAAGAACAAACAUUUAUAAGUCAAAUAAAAUAAUUAAGAACAUAAUGGUGAAUUAAAUUUGUUUUCCUUUUAUCUGAUUUGAUAAAUUUAAAAUUUUUAAGAACAUAAAAAUAAAUCAAAUAUGAUUUUUGGUCCCUUGGAGUUUUGUUUGGCCUCAACAGGGGUAAAUGUAAAUAAUGGACUUAAAAAGAAAAAAAGAAAUAUACUAAUUGCAAUGACUAUGAAAAAUUUUAUAAUUAUUGUAGAAUAAUCAAAACACAGAAAGCGGUUGAGGAAAAUAAAGUUCAAAUUAAUAAAAACUAUCAGUAAAAGUUGCAAAUUAAUAAAAAUAAUUUGGAAAUAAUUUAACUCUUUCUUAUACAUUCACCUGUAAAAUUGUUAUUGGAACAAUCAAACGACAUAAGAAGAGUUAAAUUCACAAUUUGUUUAGGAAUUUCACCUGCAAUUAUAAAAUUCACAUAUCAAAUUAAAAAUUCAUCUCCUAGCAAGGAUUAUAAUAAUAAAAUUAAGGUAUAAUGGCUUAUUUAGCUCUUCAAUUUUAUUAAAAAGAAUCAUUUUAGUCUUUCAUUUAAUUUUUCAUCUCUUUUAGCCCUUAAACUUGCAAUGUUUGUCAAAUCAUCCCAAAAUAAAUUGAAAAUUCCAUGUGUAUGCCACAUCAACAAUUAAUUUUUAAAAUUUUAAAAAAAAUUCUAUUUUAUUACUAACGUGUUAGCAAAGUAAACAAACAUUAACUUUUCCAUACAUUUUUUGGGCUGAUAUAACAAACAAUACAAGUUCAAGAGCUAAAAGAAACGGAAAAUUAAAUAAAAAAUUAAAAUGAUUUUUUUUAUAAAGUUGAAGGGCUAAAUAAAUAAUUAUUUCUAAAGUAAACAAAGCACGUUAGCAAGGUAUUUCACAUCAUAUUAGGUGUCAUACACACUUCCAAGUCAAGUUGGAACUAAAAAAAUAUUUCUCUCAUCAUUUUGUCGUAGUUUAUUCUUCAAUCUUCUUUUGAAAAAUUUCAACUAUGUAUUCGUUUAAUAAAUAAAUUUAUAUUUUCAAUCUCAAUAUCUAAAUUAUUAUAUUCAUUACCUUAAUUUCUUUUCAAAAAAACAAAAAAAAAAAUCGUUCCUUGCAUCUCAAUGUACUUAAAAAAAAAGUAAACACUUCAAAAGGUUUUAAAAAUGGUUAGCAUAUAUUACCUUCAAAGUGGUUCCGACCAAUAGCGAUGUCUUGAAGCAGGCUCAAAUUCCCAAUUUCUAUUGGUAGGCUCCCCUCCAUUUGGUUAUACGAUAAAGCUAACACUUGUAACUCUUUGCACUUGAAUAGACUGGCAGGAAUUCUACCAGAAAGCAGGUUAAGACUCCAGUACAAUCCUUUCAAAUUUGGAAGAUGAUCAAACAUAUCUUUUGGGAUAUGACCAGUGAGAUUAUUGGAGGUGAAAUGGAUGACUUCUAGCAAAAGCAAAUCACGUGGAACAGAGGGUAUAGAACCAGAGAGUAUAUUAAUAUUAUUGUCAGUGAAUUUAAAUGCAUUGAAACAUAUUUAUCUUCUUAUAUAAUUAUUAGCAAAAAAAAAUUAUGGAUAGUUCUAGACAUUUUAUAAAAAGAAUUUGAUAUAACAAGAUUUAGAAAAUAAUUUGCAUUGUUUAUUUUAGGAAAUUAUUGAAUAAAGAGAUCAAGAAUUUUCAAUUUAAAAACUUUUAAAUUUAAAUCAUAACAGGAGGAGUUUAGUUACUUUACAAUUAUCCAAGAUGGAUUAAAUUUUGAACAAAAAGGAUAUUGACCAAAAAUUAAAAUAACCUUGAAAUCUUUUACAACAUUCAAUGAGGUUGAAAGAUUUUAUUUUUAAUUUUUUGAUUUUUUUUGAAAUAAUAACUUAUUUGGCUUCUAAUUUUUUUAAAAAGACUUUUUUUUAAUCUUUAAACUUAUAUUGCUUAUCAAAUUAUUUCAAAAUGAAUGAAAAAAAUAAUGUUUAUUAACAUUGUCGAUGUAAAUAAUAUUAAAUUUAUUUAAAAAGUAUAAAAAUAUUUUUUUAAAAUUAAUUAAUUGCUAACGUAACAUAUACGUGGCAAUCUAUAUGUAUGCCACAUCAGCAAAGUUAACAAAUGUUAUUUUUUUAUCCAUUAUAAGUUAUUUGACAAAUAAUGCAGUUUCAAGAGUUAAAACUGACGAAAAAUUAAAUAAAUGGCUAAAAUUACUUCUUCUUCUUUUUUAUAAAGUUGGAGGGUGGAAAAAUUGUUAUACAUUUUUUUUCUUGUCUUAUCAGUACCUUCGACAACACACCACCAUAAAGUAAGAAUAUAAAGCAUGGUUCAUUUAACUAGAUUUUUAGCAAGAAAAUUGAUAUUGUUGUCUGUAUAUAUAAAAAGACACAGGUUUAAACUUAUUGAAAUAUAUUUAUCCUUUUAUAUAAGGAUUAGCAAAAAAUUAUAGAUAUAUAAUUCUAAGCAUUUUAUAAAAAAAAAAGUUAUAUAAUAUGACAUAGAAAAUAAUUCACUUUUUAUUUUAGGACAUUAUUGAAUAAAGAAAUCAAGAAUUUUUAAUUUAAAAAUCUUAAAUUUAAAUCAUAACAGCAGAAGGAGUUUAGUUUACAAUUAACCAAGAUGGAUCAAAUUUGGCUUUAUAUCUAAGAUAUGAACACUGUAAAUAGAUUAAUGAUAAGCAUUAAACUAAAUUAUUGGAAUAAAAAGAUAAGCAAUUUUACAAUAUUGGUGCUGGGAACAUAUCUCUAUAGAUUCAGUAAUGGCGCGCUCUCCAAUUUUCUAAGUAUUCAGUGGCUUACCCCUUCGUUGGGUUUGGUUUGGGACGGCUGCUUAACUUAGUUGUGCAAUCUAAAGUCUUUCCACUUUGUCGUUUUAAAAGUAUGCAUAUCUGAGUGCGGGAAGAAGUGAUUGCGAAGUUGACACUUUUUCAACUUAUUACAAAAUAAAAAAUGAAAAAAGGAGACACAAAUUGUUUACGUAGUUCGGUUUUUUUACGCUUGCGGAUCUUAGUUUAGUGAGAAAUAUCUACUAUCUUCAACAUUUAUAAUAAGUGAUCUUAAAUCUAUCACAACCCACUGGCAAUUUCCUCACUUUUGUACCUUUGAAGACUAGUACUCUCACCACUAAAUUCACCUAUGUGAACUUAAUUUAUAAAAUCACAAUACACAAGUUUUACAAUCAAAUGCACUCUUACAAACAAUAUUCUUCGCUUAAACAGACUAAGUGCUCUCAAUUCUCUACACAAUCACCUAUACAAGUCUCUCAAUUAUAUAUAGAUUUCGAGAUUUACUAACAUAAUGAAAAUCUAAAUCAAUCUCUAUUAAACAACAACUAAACUAGUUGAAUAAAUUAUAAUAAUGAAUAAGGUAAACAAUGAUUGUUGGCAGCUAAGUCUUCAACGUUCCAAUUCGAUUCAACUUCCUCGAUCUAAGCGAUUAGAUAGACAUGGUCUGAUCCAAUCCGAUCCCUUAAACAUGUUUCCUGAAGUGAUAUGAUCUGUAACACCCCAAACCCGGCCUAGACAUUAUGGCCAAAUUUGGGAGUGUUACGAAGAAGGGUUUUAAAAUCAAUCUUAUUAUUAUUUUCGUUAAGGGAAAUAUUGUUAAUUUGAUCUUUCAGAAAACUUAUUUUGCAGCGGAAGUUUGAUAUUGUUAAAGUUGAAAAUCGAGUUUGUGCUUUCAGAAAAUAUUUGCUUGCGUAAAACCGUAGUUUUGUCAAAUCUCACAGUAUAAAAGUCAAAAAACACAUCCAAAACCAAAAUUAAAACAAAUAGUCCAGAGAGUCCCAAAAUUACAAAACUCUCAACAACAAUUCAAAUUUUUAAAAACAUCGUUAAUCAAAAUAGUUCGCAAACUAGUGGUCACCACUGAGACUCUGUCGCACCGACCCGCCUAUGUCUGAGGACUACCUUAACAAAACAGAUAACAUAUGUGAGUUUUCAUAAACUCAGUGUGUAACCCAACAGAGAUAGACAUACAAAUAUACUCAGAAUUUCCAUAUGCAAAAUAGAUAUACAUACAAACAUAAGUCCUUAACAGAACCAGAUAGUUAGAACACAGAUAUGCAAAAUCCUACCCCCAUCCUCUACACACCAUCUCCGACCAUCCUAUCACACCAUGUGGGGUAUAAAACACCCACCCAUCCCUACAUACCACAUAGUGUCUGCACGACACUUAUCAGAAUAAUUUGCAGCUAUGCUGCUAGAGUAAGGGCAAAAUAUGGCCUCACAGAACAUUCCUUCAAUAAAUAGAUCCCACCCCGUAUAUAUAUAAAUAGCAGAUAAUAGAUAUAAUAAAAUUAUCAAGUCUUGCAUGCUUAUAUAUAUAUAGGUAGCAUACAUGUUAUUACGAACUAGUCAAAACAUACAUAUCAAUUUCUAAAUGCUCAAAUCAGACUAUCAGAAUACAUGUAUCAUGCAUUAAGGUAUGUUUUGCCCUUACCGACCCGACCGAAGGCCCAAAGUCGAUUGAAUAAACUUAUGUGACCAUAGAGAAGAUUUCAGAAUUUUGGGCUUACAUGCUUGUGUGGGCCUACACGCCCAAAUUGGCCUUGCUCGUGUGGCCCACACGACUUGGCCCCAAAUUGGCCUAUCCCGUGUGUCGUACAUGCCCGUGUGGCGUGAUAGACCACUUUUUUGGAUUUUACCGAACCUUAUUUUUCUGUGUUUUUGUUACACACCUGGUUCAUUUUUUAUGCUACAACAAUCCCGAGACCACCAGAACCUAACAAUCACAAUACAGGCUCCCAAAAUCAGUCUUACUCCUCAAUUAAACCAAAUUACAGAAAUUGACUACAGUGGAAAUCGAGUGUUCAUCACUUACCCAACUUCCCGAACGAUCUCUAUUAUACGAUUCCACAAGAGGAGAGCUCCGUUCCUCACAAUUCGCUGCUGCCAACAACUCAAAAAAUCAAUACUAACGAAAAAGACAACAUCGUUAAAAAGAAAAACUGCUUUCAAAGAAAUCUCCCCUAACCCAUGCUAAACCUUUCAACCACUACUUACCAAGCCGUACGAAAAUAGGAAGACCAAAACACCUUGAUUUGAAAGGGAGGUUAUGACAGAAAUCAAAAAGAAAAGAAAAAGAAAAUUUUGACAAUAGGAGAAUAGAAAAACGUCAGAAGGGAAAAAAAAUUUGGGAAAAGAAAAUAAAAAUAAAAUAAUAUUUAAAUAAAAUAUCCCUUCAACUCCCACUAAUCCACAUCCAACCACCUUAGAAUUUCAGCUCCACCCAAACUCUAUCAGACUACCAAGACAAAAAUUAUCAUCCUUGCUCCCGCAGGGACUCGAACACAAGACCUUUAGGCAAGUUAACUCCUUACCACUCGAACCAGCAAGCUCAUUCUAAUACAAGUGUACCGGAAGUAUAACAUAAGCCCACCCAACAGGGAUAAGACUAGGAUAAAAAAUAUCAUAUUUUUCAAAAGUGAGACUUGAACUCAAGACCUCAAACACACAAUCAGAAUACUUAGCCACUGAAGCAAAUACAUAUUUAUGACAUAAUUCACAGAAACAAGGUUAAAUAAUCAAGGCGUUACAUGAUCUUUAUUGAUGGGCUAGAUAAAAUCCACAAUAUCAGCACAACCAAAAAAUUCGGUUCAAUAAAUUGUCAAUCACCUAGAUAUGAAAACAGUUUAACCAAUUGCAGUGCUUCAGGAAGUGACACUUCCUCAAGUAUAUCUUAGUCAUUCCAUAUUUUUCAACAAUCUUCCCUUUUGACAAUUUGUUGAAUAAAACAUAAACAACACUUGGAGCUAUAUCAUCAGGUAACUUUAUCUCCCCCUUAGCAUUUCCCAUUAUUUCCAAAACUAUCUUAGAAAAUAAUUAAGUAAAUUAACCAUAUGUUGGUGUGGAACUUUGGUGAGGAAAAUCUCAAACACAUAAAAGGAGCUCAAACGGACCAUGAACAACAACUCGAAUAGAAAAACAAAGCAAUAAAACAAGGUUCCAAGGCGUGUAUCAAACAUCUAUCUUUAAGGUUCUAUUUGCUCUACCUAUACUCGGUGUGGAAAUGAGUUUCAAGCAAAUGAACCUCAAAGAUACAAUGAAGCUCGGUGACUAUUUGCGACUUGUAUUGAUGAAAUAGUUCACUAAGCACAAAACAGGGUAUAACAAAAAAAAUAAAUUUCUAUAAAGAAUUUCGGUAGUAAUUCUUUAUAGAAUAAUCUAAUAAUAGUAGAAGAUGGAGGAAUGAUAGAAAAAUCUUUUGAGAAUUUUUUGUAUUUUUUCAACUGAAAUCUCACUCCCAUUUAUAGGAAUACUUAUGUCUCUUAAUAGGGACACAACUUUCGAUAGGUGUCUUUUCUGAAUAAUCCCUUUUUAAAAGAGACAUAAUUAUGCAACUAAUAUCUUAUAAUUAUUCAAGUAAUAUUUCUUGUAUAGUUAUAAUUCUAAGUAAUAUUACUAGUAUAGUUAUAAUUCUUUGUCAAAAAUCAAGUGAUAUAACUCUUGACCAAUAACCAAAAUACAUUAUAUCCUUUUCCUGUUAUAUGGCUCAGAAGAGCUUCCCGUUUACAUGCUUAUAUAAGCAUACAAGUACAUGAAUUGAUGGAUUAUAGAUUUGUACACUUCGUGUGUACUACCCGUGUAUCCAACGAUAUUUUAAAUCGUUCAACAGGCAAAGUUCUGAUAAGAAACAAUAUGAGUUUGAAAUGAACAAUUAUGGGUGUAUACUUGAAUUACAUGGAAAUGAUAUUGAUGAUAAUGAAACAUGAAAUGGGAUGAUACAUGUAUAUGGAACUUGCUUGGUGAUUAUGUUCACCCAUGUUUAUGGAAUAUUACAUGAGAUUCACAUGACUAACAUGUUGAGGAUAUGUGUAUAGGCUUUUGGCUAAAUUGGUUUGGAUAUGUUAUGAAUGCUUACCUUAAAUGUGAAUAAAUGGUAAGUUAAAUUCCAUGUUAUACAAACUUACUAAGCUUAAAUGCUUACUCUAUUUUAUUUUCCAUGUUUUAUAGUAAUUCAGAAGCUCGAUUUGGUUGGAAGUUGGUCGGAGCUACUUCACACUAUCCAUCAGCUUUUUUGGUACAUAUAGUAAACUAAUUUUGGUUAUAAUGGCAUGUAUAGGUUAAUUUGGCCAAUGAUGGUAUACCAAUAUUUUAUUGAAAUUAGCCAUUUGUAUGGCUUGUAUUUGGUAUAUUUUGAUGUAUAUAUACUUGUGGCCUUAUCAUGUUUGAUGUGUGCUUGUUGUGGUUGAAUAUGGGAUAAUUUAUAAGCAUAUUGAUGAUUGGUAUGAGAGAGUGUAUAUUUGGUAAAAAUAUUCAUAUAUGUGUAUUUGGUCAAUUUGGCAAGUUUGAACACUUGGAUAUAUGUGUUGAUAUGUUAUGUAUAAAACUUUUUUUUAGCUUGAUUUGAAUGCCUUGUUAUGACUUGAUGUUGUGUAAGUGUUGUGUUAGGUUGAUGAUAAAUGAGGUAAGAAAUGUGGCUUGGAAAUGACCUAUUUUUGGCCACACAGGCAGAACGGGCGUGUGUCCCCUGUAUAUUAAAUUUGCACAAAAUAGAAUGCUUACACGGCCUAGCACACGUGUGUGUGGAUUGGCCGUGUGACAAGUCAUAGAGCUCAUAAGUUUGGACAUGGGUUGGGAAACGGCAGUGUGUCCCUAUUUUGAAUACCCACAUGGCCUGAGACACGGGCAUGUCUCUUGACUGUGUGAGACACAUGGCCUAGCCAUACGGGUGUGUGUCUCAUGCACCUUUGAAAAUUUUUAAUAUUUUCUGAAAAAUUCUUUGAGUACCUGAUUUAGUCCCGACUUGUUUCUAAUGUGUAUGUUGGGCCUCGAGGGCUCACAUAAGGAACAUUAUGCUUGAUUACGACUGUUUUCGGAUAUGAAUAAUAUCUGUUUAUUUGUUUUGUAAAUUCUGGUAAUGCUCUGUAACCCUAUUUCAGCGAUGAACACGGGUUAGGGGUGUUACAACAACCUAAUGUCGAAAAGGGUGAGAAUCAAUGUCUUUAGGUUAUUGCCUAGAAUGAGUUUGUUAUGUAUGAGGUUAUGCUUGAGGGCGUGCAUGAUUAAGGAUAUAUAGGCGAGAAUGAGGUCUUGAUGACCCAAGAGGUGGAAGACCAUGUCGAGAACUCUACAACCAAUUCCUAGUUUGAUGGUGCAAUAAAGGAGGAUGUGAAAAUUGAUGAGCUCAAAGUAAAGGGUAUUGGUGCUGAUGGUGUGGGCAAAGGCGAUGCCCAAUGCUUGACAAAUUUGACAAGGAGUAAAGUCAGACAUAUAAUAAAAUUUAUUAUUUAUAAAAUAAACUAAAAAAAGAUAGAGAGAAAAGUUUGAAUAUGAUUUAAGUCUUGUUUGUGAGGGUUUUUUUAAAAUAUUUUAUUUAUAAAAGUAUUAUUUUAAUAAAUAAAUUUUAUGUUAGAAAUAAGAGAAAAUGGGUAUUCAUUUAGUAUGCAUAUUUAUCAAAAAAUAAACUUUUAAAUAUUUUUAUUUUUGAAUUUUCAAGAAGUAAAAUUAAAUUGACAGAAUGUGUAAAGUUGAGAGCUAAAUUUGUUGGUUUUUUAGAUUUAAGGCUAAAUUGAUAGAAUCUGUCAACAUUGGAGGGUUAAACUUGUUAUCCAAUAAAAAAGGCCACUGUUAGUGAUUUAACAAAGGAGAGAUCAAAAUAUUAAAUUUCAAUAAUGAUAAUGACUAAAAUAGAAAAUUUUAAACUUGAGUGACCAAAAUAGAAACACACUAAUAAUUGGGUGACUAUUUUAUACUUUGCCCUAGAUUGAAUAAUGGUUACCAAUUUUCGACCCCUUUGUUGGGUGACUAAUAAUUGGCUUGACUUACUUUUGUGCAAUCUAAAGUCUUUCCACUAUGUCGUUUAAAAACAUCAACAAGUGCUUAUCACCUUAUAAUAUAAUAGUCUAAUUUGAGAGAAACUUCAAUAUUGGGAUAAUUUUAUAAUCAAUUGGACAACGAAGCUAUCAGUUUUGUUCUUCAAGGAUAAUUAAGGUCUGGUAUGGAAACAUAAACGAUCCCUAAAUUUCCUGGACUUUGUUGUGCAUUUUAAAGUCUUUCUUUGGGUAAAUUGUAAAAAUAGUCACUCAAUUUUGGUUAAAUUUAUUUUUUUAUCAUUGAAUUACAAGAAGUUACGUUUUAGUCACUAACAGUAUCGAGUUAUAACAUAUUGGUCACUUGUCCAUUAACCGUCGUUACAUCUUUGAAAGUGAUGUGGCACGUUAACUCAAGGGUUAAUAUCUAAAUUGACUCUAAAUUAUAGUUAAAAUAUUCUAUUUGGUCUUUUUACAACUUUUUAAUGAUGAUUCUAAAAUUAUUCAUUAAAAAUACAAGAAAAUGAAAAUUUUCAAAAAUUAUUUAUUUAUUUUUUAAAACAAUAAAAAUAUUUAUUAGAAAUUAUUUAUUUAUUCAUUAAAAAUGCAUUCUUUCAUGAAUCUUUUUACUGUAGCUUUUUAGAAAAUGUCGCGGAUAAUAUUGUUUUUCGUGAUGUUUUCUAAAAAGGUUACAAAAAAAAACAUAGUUUUUAUGAUGUUUUUGCAAAUAGACACAAAAUAGAAGUCCCGAAAAUUAGAAUUCUCAUAGCGAUGACUCAAUCCCUUACCUUUAUUGUUUUAAAAAUAAUUUUUUAAAGAAAUAGGAUCUCAUGCAUAAUUGUUGAUGCACAUUAUAUUUAUGUUAUACCUCUCACAUUCUCAAUGUGUUGUAUUGUUGAACAAGUAAUCUUGUUACUUCUAUUGUGGCAAAUUCAAUGGAGGGAGUUAUCUUCUUAUUUCUACCACAAAAAGUUUCUCAAUUUAUUUCAUUGGGUGAAAAUCUAAUGGCAAUCAACAAAUUAGAUAACAAUUCCCAUGGUACUCGUUGGAUAACCCGGCCAUCUUUUUUUACGGGAUGUAAACUUUUCUAAAUAAUAAGAAUAGAAAAGAAAAGUUUGGGCAUUUCAAUUUAAGUAGCUCACCUCUAAUUGCUUACCUCCAUUAUUUUAGUAUACCUCAAUUAAUGAUUUCCCAAAUCAUUAUAAGAAUUAAUACCUUUCAAGACGAAUGUGUAACAUUUAUAAAACUAUACUUUUCUUAAGACUUAGAUAUAAACUUUCCCCCUAGCUUUUAUAGUUGUUAUAUAGUCGUUGACAAGUCAUGUCUUGAGGCAAUCUAUCAAUUGUCUCUAGACACACUGCACAAUGUCUUAAGAAAGGCCGAUAUGAAUCAGUAUAAGUCAAUAUUGACUGAAACAAGCUAAAACAUACUAGAAUGGUCGAUACGCAUCAAAAUCUUAACCAUACCCUAGACUACAUCGUAUUGGUUGAAGACCAGAAAGAUACGUAUCAAGCGUGUUCUAUGUUGAUAUCUCUUUUAUGUGCUGCUCUAUAUUUUUGUUCUUCUAAUAAGAUUUGUUUGGCUUAUAAAAAAACUAUUUUUAUUAAAAUAAAAUAAAUGAAAACCUUAUGCAAAGAUUGAAAAAUGAGAUCAAAAUUUUCUAUGUUUUGAUAUUGAGCAUUUAAUAAUUUGUAGCUAUAUUCUACAAAGAAAAAAAAUUGCACCAAUACAAUUUCAUAAAAUUAUUACAAAUGAUCAUAAAAAUUUAGCGAAAUUUAAUAUUUCUAAUUGAUAUAAUUGGGAAUGGUUAUGCGAUUAAUAAUAAUCUUUUUGAACUUUGUUUAAUACAUGAUUUAUGCAAAACAAUAUUGGCAACUUAAAUUUCUGCAUGUCUUUUUAGAGCAUAAUAGAUUGGCGGAUUGUAUAGCCAAAGUUGUUCCUAGUAAUCUUAACAGGUUAUCAACUUUUGAAAACCAAGUUGAUCAUGCUUAAUCUUUGUUAGAAGAAAAUACUCAUCCAACAAUGAUUAAUAUAGAUUCCCAUCAACUUUAUUGUAACUAAUUGCUUGAACUUAUUUCUUUUUUUAAAAAAUUCACAAAAUACAAAAAUAACUAUUAAUAAACUUUAUAGCAAAACAAAGCAUCAGUAUAAAUAUUUAUCAAAGACAUUUCUAGAAAGCAAAGCUUAUGUUUAUUUUAGUCAACUUGAUAGCUACCACUUCAUCGAACUCAUUCCAUAUCUCUUAAUAACUUCACUUUGAUCUUCUUUAACUUUGUAACAAUCUCUUUCAUAUGAAGCCUCUCAUUUGGUAACUCAAAACAACAUUCUAAGCCCAGUUGCAAAAUGGAUAAGGCACAAUUCUGGACUUUUAAAUCUUCCCUUCCAAUGGUGCUCAACAACUUGGGAUCUACAGCUUGAUUUAGCGAAGAUGAUUUCGACUCUAUCACCCAACUCUUUAAGCUUCUUUCUCCUUCAAACAUUUCAUCUGUGGGUUUUUUUCUUGUGAUGAUUUCCAUCAAAAGAAUACCAAAGCUAUACACAUCACCUUUUGUCGAAACAAUUCCUUCGAUUCCAUAUUCUGUGUAUCAAUAUAAAAACAACAUUAUGAAUAUUCAAAGAUAUCUUGAUAAUGAAAAAUCCAUAUAAAAUAUACGAAACAUUAUAUGCUUGCAUGUUAUAAUUGAACUGGGAUUUAAUCUAGUUGCUUCCUUAAAAAGUCACAUUUAAUAUGUUUGAAACUCAAAUCUUAACAUAUAUGAUCCCUCUUGUUAUGCACAUGCUACGCUUACAUUGAAAAUGGAAAAAUAAACAUGGAGUCUAGUUAGAAGUAUCACCUGGUGCC